AAACGACGACAUUAGGAAACGGAAAAUCAUGCAACUCAGAAAACCAUUGCUCUAGUCCAAAUGAGGUUCUUCAAUGCCUCAAGCUUUUCUAAACACCAUAGCCUGAACCUUUUCCUUUGCGCCUUCUUUACUUCACCAGAAACGUUCUUAAUGAGCUCUUCUUCAAAUUUGGGACGAGCAGGCAUUAGGCUGUGCACAAUGCUGUAAAUGCUCCUAGCCCUUGCCACACCCUAGGCGCAUACGCGUGCAUGUCCGACCUGAGUUAUCUCAUUACGCGCGCAGUUUGAUCUUCCCGUAUUGACAUCCCUGCUGUCUAUUCUCCUGCGAAUCCUUCUACUGGUGACUUCAUCCGGGUCCAUUUUCUUGCUCCUCAGUGCAUGUUCAUCUGCUUUUCCAUGUUAAUAGAUAUAGGAAUCCUAUGAGAAACAACAUUUGACAAAACAGAACCUAAUAAUAACAACAAAACUUGACUUCAUCCUCAGUGCAUGUUCAUCUGCUUUUCCAUUUCAAAGCAGCUGACGGCAUGAUUCGUACUUGGACUCCAAGAUGUCUAGAUUAUAGGGAAACCAGCCCUCUAUCCAAAACACACAAAGAAGUGUAUUUUCCGUUUAUACCAAUUAAGUGUGUUGAAGCAUGUCCCACAUGGCCACAUCGGAAACUUGUCGAAGCUUAAAUCCUCUUAUAUAGAAAGUUGAACUACUAAUGCCAUGAGGCCUUAAUUUUGUAUAAAACCAUACUUAUUGAAUUGCACACGUGCUUAAGUUAAGGUCAGUAUUGAUGGCAAUUAGUAGUGGGCCGCUGGGCCGUCUUAAAAAAACUGGUACAAAGGGCAAUUUAUAGAAGCAGUGUUGAGAUAAGGGCAAUUCACCUGUUCCUUUUAGAAGGAUAUAUACGAAUGAAGCAAGGUUUAUCUACUCACCCGUAAUGCGGCUCAGCCCUUCAUAAAAAAGUGAAAGAUCAAAAUUACUUUUACAGCAAGAGCAAUACCAGAAGAUGUAAUCUAAAUUAUUUAUAUUUGGUUCCCUUGAAAUCCUUUUGACUGCUUCAACAUACUAUAUGCAAACAGAACCAGAACCAAGUCCAGACUCACUCGUAAGAGGAAGUCCACCGGGGGUGGGAUAGGUCGGCACCCAAUGGAAAAAACAGGCUGAGACUCAGCCAAUCCACUCCAGCCCGUGGAAUCGACUGGCACCCAGCCCAAGCCAGUCCACAGGCCGACCUAAAAUUGACAGACCUUGGGACCGGCUCAAAUGACAACUAGCUGACGCCAGCGUGGUGUCGAGGGCAAGGAGCCACGGAGGCAAGGCAAAGACCAACUUCCCCACCCCCACUAAGCUCCAUCUCGACGCCGUCAACAUCGCCAACAUGAACAAUGCCGCCAAAUUAGCUGCGACGACGAACAUCAGCAACAGCCACAGCAGCACCGUGGAGUCCUCCUCCUUGCCGUCUCCGCGCCCGCUCGACCUCACUCUCAAAACCCCCCUCUUGUCCACCGACAGCGGCUACUUCACUGCUGCGAGCGGCUUCCGCCUGCUUCCCGCUUCCCGGGAAUUAUCCUUCCGCGAAAGAUCCCCCCGCGAAACUUGUAGGUUCGACCACCCCCCCUCCCCCACGAAACAUCCCCAUAUUUUCCUUCCGGACCAAGUUUGUUCCUCUUUUAUGUAAGAAACAAAAUCCCUGCCCAGCUUUAUAAUAAUUAAUUUAUAAUAAAAAAUAAAUAUUUUUAUUAUUUUAUAAUAAAAAUAAUAUUUUAAUAAAAUUGACUAGGCUAUUUUUUGUUAGGGAUAGAGAUGCAUUGGCCUAUUACUAUUCAUUAGAGUCUAUCGGGAAUGGAUAAAUGGGUUGGGUGCUGGCAUAAAGUCCUUAGAGGUGGACUUGCUCUAAUAGGUCUCCUCAUCCACAACAAUAUCCCAGCUUUCCCUUGUCGUGGUUUUCCCAUAUUUGUGCACCUUACUGCAAAGAGAGAGCAAGUUAACUUGUCAAAGAAAAACCAGAACAAUAGAUGCCAAUGCAGUUCAGAAAGCUUAUUUCCCUUCAUACCCAUUUCCAAAGUGCUCCUCCCCACGUCCUUGACCAACCUAGACAUGAGACAACAAAAACAAAGUUACAUCAGAUUAAAUUAUUGAAAGAAAAAGGUUCACUUCUGUUGUAACAAAUUGACAUUAGAAUCAAGCAACCACGCUAUGAAAUACAAAGUUAAAAUGUAACAAUUUACUGUGUCUUAAAGGAAUCUGUGAAAUAAAAUAGUUAAACCCUAAACAACACCACUGCAAAUUAGGGGUGGGCGCGGUUCAGUUUUGAUUGAAACCAAAACCAAAACCGCAAGUUUUUGCGGUUUGGUUCGGUGCGGUUUUGAAGCCAAAACCAAAAUGAAACCAAACCGUUUGGUUCGGUUCGGUGCAAUUUCAAACGGUUUCAGUUUGGUUUUUAAGAAAAAAUGUACGAUUUGCAAUUUAACAUAUUAAAAAGCAUUUCCCAAUAGUAAUAGGAAAAUGACAUUUGUUAUGUAAACAAUUAGCAUGUUGCAUGUAGUUGUGAUGUUAAAACAUGUUUGUGCAACAAAAAGGUGUCCCUUACAAUAUUUUUCAUAAAACAAGUUGAAUAAAUUUGAAUUCAUUAAACGUGAGCGAAAUUUUCAUACUAGAAUAUGUGAUAUCAUGCUUCAAAUGAGUGGCCUUUAGUAGAUCAUUGUUCGACUCUUGAUAACAAGAUUAGUCCACCCUUGUACAUAUAUGUGUGUGUGAUGGUAUAAAAUAACAAAGGUCAUUCAAGUUAAUGAACAAAAGAGAGUGAUGAAUGAUGAUAUUCUAGUGUGGUUGAGUCCAUACUAAGUGUAUGGAUUUUAACAAACGACCAAUUAAAACAUGAAAUCUAAUAUGGACAUUUAAUUAAAUGUUUAUUAAUAUUUGCGGUGCGGUUUUCAAAAGCCAAAACCGAAACCAAACCGUUUUCUAUGUUGCGGUUCGGUUACAAAACCGAAACCGUUUCAAAACCGCAAAACCAAACCGUUCGGUGCGGUUCGAUUUGGUUCGUGUUUCGAUUUCGGUUUUCGGUUCUAAGUGCCCACCCCUACUGCAAAUAGCAUAAGAAAAUUAAAAUUAACCCUAAAGAAAUUGGGAGAGAAGAAUAUGAAAAGGGAAUACCUUUCGGCCCUUUGAGUUAUUGGAAAAAACCCAACAGAGCAAAAGAUAAGCAAAAAUACAGGAGGAAAGAAAAUAAAUUUUCAACUUGUAAGAUUCAUACGCGAACAUAUUGGCGGUCAAAAGCAUUUCGGAACUCAGAGCCAUCAAGCUUUUUGAUCUGCAUGGAAAUUAUUUAUGAAGUUUGAGAUUCUUAUAGACGCUUUAGACACAUCGACAUAUUGAAAAAGCAAUAUUCAACAACCUAGUACCCAUGCUCCAUGAAAGGUUACAGAAAAUAUGAAUGACUGGACUCUGGAGUGAGAAAGUAAAAGGACUUACCGCAUACUUCAUAUCUUCUAAGUUUGUGUAGUCUACAAUCCCUGUUGUGCCUACAAAAAAGGCAUAGGACAAAAGCUAAAUCAAUCGAAAUUCUGAUGUCUCAUGAUCUAGGUCGUAGGAUUAAACUACUGAAAUAACACUAUAUGAAAUAGCAGUGUAUAUCCCAAAAAAAGUCUGAAAUCUGGUUGAUAAUUGAAGAGUUCGAAGGGAUUUACCUUUGGAUUCUUUGGCUUUCAGAUGGAGUUUGCUUAUGUGUGGGGGAGAGAGGUGGAGCGGCUAGAGCUUGAGUAUGGAAGAGAUGAAAAAUGCAGAGAGCACCUGUUUUGGCUGAAGCAACUCACACACUCUGGACAAAUCUGCAAAUGUCUAAAAGGGGGAAAAUAUAAAAAGAAACCUUAACAACUGAAUUCAAAGAAACAUUAUUACAUUGUAAAUAACAUUUCACAAAAAAAAAAAAAAACUAAACUAAACUAAUUACACUCGGAUUGCAAUGCUAUCAUUUAAUAAUAGGAAUUCCCAUAACUUAGCAGAAGACCUGCAUCUGCAAAGGAUUCUUUAAAACCUAUUUUUUUUAACAACCCCGCACCUGCAACACAUCCAGGCAAGGUAAACCAAUAGCACCCUCAUGCUGAGCUCUUCUGUGCAUAUAUACCCCUUAUAAGUAAUCUUAAUCAAUCAGUUAUCAUGAAUAUAGUCAGUUAUCAUGAAUAUACAACUUAUAUUAAUUUUCUACAAUAUCCAACACACAAAUAUAACAGAAGAGGAAACUUUUACUUAAGCAGCACAAAAUGAUAUCCUCUGCAUUUCAUUCCAAAAUCCAUCACUCUUAUGUCUUUGCCUGCACAGUUUUUGCUCCAACAUAGCACACCAUGAUGAUAGCACUAUCAAUAAUUAAGACAUAAAGAAAGGCUAUCCUAGCUAGGUAUUAUCAUUGGAGUAAACCAACAACACCAUAAGUAAAGUAGCAGACCAAAUUUUUUCUAGAAUUGAUGUCUUAACAUGUUUAAGUAGCGAAAAGAUUACAACACAUUGGAUGUGUUAACACAUCCAUAAGCUAAUGACUCCCUCUCCAGUUUACCGCAUCAUUCUUAAUGUAUUCAACAAUGCAGCAGUAAUUAAAAGUCCUUGGAAAAUGCCAAGCUACUACAAUGACAUAACGAAAACUAUAUCUCACCAUACCCCCUUGUUGGCAUAGACAGCAUAUCCGUCCUUGUUCAGGGUGAAUCAUUAUCCUGAACUCAAUUAUCAUCAUCGUCGAGAAUGUCAAACUUUAAAUCAACCAUGCAUGGAACAAAACCUAGAAAUUAAACAAUUAUCAAAGCUUAUGAAGAAUGCUAAACCCAACUAAUUCGAAACAUAAAGUAACCCAAAAGAGAGAAAACUUAUAAAUUUUACAUAAAUUAUAAUCCUUAACAGAAGGAUGGAACAAAGCAUGUUCAUUCUUGAGAAUAGGUGUAAUUUUGCACAUUGCAUAUAUGUACAUUAAGGACGGUGGUAACAUACCUUGUAAUUUGUACAAAUUAGGAUUUUCAUUCAAAGAACCAUAAUAUACACAAUUACAAAAACAGUGAUACAAACUUGUUCUUCUCUUAAGGAAAUUACUCACAGUUGAAAUUCUGAAUGGACAAAGUUUUGGCAUCCCUUUCCGACUAUAUUUGAUUAACCUUUUUUUAAUCCAAUGAGUGCCUUCAUGAGAGAGAGAGAGAGAGAGAGAGAGAGAGAGAGAGAGAGAGAGGAAUAUUCGGUGAAAAGUAUUGCCAAAUCACACAGAGAUCAAAAUCUUGAAUAUAUAUGUUUAACCAUAUCAAAGUGAGUGUGUGAAAGGGUGUAGUCUGCAGAAAGGGCAACAUUUUCACUGCUAGAAAGUUGGAAACUAAACUUUUACACAGAUAUUGGAUUUUAUUAAUUCCCUCCGCGAAUUGAAAAGCAAAUUGUUCGAGUAAUGCAGGUAAAUUCGAUAUACAUAUGCGUUGAUCUAUGUAAGACGGUUAUAAGUUAUAACUGUAUCGUCUUAACACAAAAAAUGAUCAUAAAUGUAAGUGUCUGUAUUAUGGAAGUAAGGGACUUGCAGCAAUUGCUAUGAGCUCUAACAGCAGUCACUCCAAGUACCCUAUUAUGGAAGUAAGGGACUUAGUAAGGGACUUACAUCAAUUGCUAUGAGCUCUACCAGCAGUCUCUCAAAGUGGUGCAAGGGCUAAAAUUAUAAAUAAAAAGUAAUUUAAACAAUUUAACUUAAUAAAAUAUUGUAAUUUAAACAAUGCCUAUAUAUUCAAACAUCCCAAAACAGGAAUGAACUUCCAGAAAACAUGCGCAUGAAAAUAAACGGCAUUACUCACCCAUUGAGUUGGACCAUCAAACUAGAGCGUAAGAAGGAUCAUCAUGUACCUAUGAAACCCAAAGGAAAAUUUUAGCAACCCCAAAGCUUGUAUGCAAGCGUGAAUAAGUAUGCAUGUAUGAAUCUAUUCAUAGUGAAGAAGGCUACCUUAAGAAAUAUUUGCAUCUGCAGCUUCAUAUGGCCAUACAACAAAAAGCACCGCAUAUGAUAACAAACCCCAGCUGCACCACAAAAGGAAUAUGAUCUUCCUCUCAACUUGUAUUUGUAGUUGUUACUGUAACAUCUGCAGACAGCAUACAUAAGCACUGAUUCGAUAAUUCUAAAGGGAAAAAAGUCCUUAUUCGAUAAUGCACCAAAUCCUAUCCAAAAACCAAGUGGGUGCCAUAUCCCUAGAUUAACAGAGCAUCUUUCUUUGUUCCAAAACAAAUUGCAAUUGGCUUUGGUAAAGUAGAAAGAUUACCAGAUACCGACUCUGUUCCAUUAUUCGACUGUCCUUUUAGUUCUGUCUCUCAACAUGGGAAAUACAAUAAGACAGUAAAAACAAAAGUUAGUGAUGCUAUUACAUAGUGAAAGAAAAUAAGACAUUCACAUAUUGAUAGCUAUUUACUGUCCUUUCUCAUCAUAAUCUUGGCCCCUAUAUAUACAUAUAUUGAAUUUUGAAAGCAAUGAGAGAAAUAUACCUUUGGGGCGUCACCGCCAGAAGGGUGAGUGAGGGAUCUAAGAUGUUUAAGAGCAGGAAUUUUUAAGUAAUUUGUGUGAAAAAGUUGAAGAGCUUCGAACAUAGUGGAGUGGGUUGGCCUGGGCUAAAAUAAAGAGGAUGAACUCUAGAAAGUAGAAAAUGUUGUUGUUCAACCAAACUCAAAAGUAAAGAAACCAUAUGAUUAACAUAUAAAUAAGUUUUAUAUACCAAUGUUUACAUGUACGUUGUUUGAGAAGGUAAAUUAGCAACAUAUACAGUGAUCAAAAGAUUAACAGCAAUAAACUGCUCAUUAUUCGAAAUAUACAAGAAAGUUGUCAUUCACAUGAUCCAAAUGGCAGAGGACAAAACAGAAGGAAGCAAAUAUUAUAGCAGCAUAAGUUGAAUAAUUGCAGCAAGUAAACAAAUAGAAAGGCUAGCUAGAUUACACAAUCCAGUUCUAGGUCGGACUAACCAUGUUAGCCAUCCGCCCACCACCAGCACCGUCGGCUUCUUAUUAAAAAUGUAGAAUAGAAGACUAAAAAAUUGGAAAUGAAAGCAGGUAACAUUGAGUUUUAAUAACCAAAAAGGGACACUGUUUAAGCAGCUCCACAACAGCAAUAAUACUUGGAUGAUGACCUGCAAAAACAGAAAAGAAAACACAAAUUAAACUAAAAAAAUAUAAAAUUUAACACUAAUCCAAGGAUUAAAUAUCAAAUAUAAAUUCAUUAGGAUUGGGACCUUUGCAUUGAGGAAUAUCUACUACAUUAUGAGUUCCCUCUUGAUAAAGCCCAAUCAGGGGGUUUUUCGAUGAGCCAAGAACGGCUAACUUUGCGUGACACCGCCAUCCCCACUAACACCAAACCCAGAUAAUAUCAAGAUCAAAACUAACCAAUACCAGAAAGAUUUUUUUAUUUAAAUUUUAAGAAAAGACCUAAACUUUACGAAAUUAAGGGGGAAAACAAAGUUAAGUAAAGCACCAAUUUGCAACUGUCAAAAGUGAAAUAUGAGACUCCAACUGUCUAGAAGAACUCCGUGGCCUCAUCGACGAUGACCGGAUGGUGGAGAUUGAACUGGUGCGUACACCCGAAACACCUGAUUAUACACCGAACAGAGAACAAAAUUUAAAUCAAGUCGAACAAUAAUUAUGAGAAAAUAAACUAAAAGGGAUUUGAGCUGAGAGUUACGAUUCGAAGUGCGGGCAAUGGAGGGUGCAGGUUAGCGGCGGCAGAGAAGGGGUUGAGCUUGGGUUCAGGUCCGUUUUAGGAGGUGGAGGCUCUUGAUAGAAGAUUGGCAUUGGAGUCGUUUUACAAAUCAGUUUCUUCCUGAACAUCCUAAUGUCAGCUUCUAGAGUUUCCUGUAAAAGAACAGACAACAUUCAUAAUAAGAAAAUCUCUCUAUGCAAUCGCAGAAAUCCCUCGGGUUUCAGGAAGCAAAUGGAAAAUGAAAUGCUUUUCUCCCGUAUCUCUCUCUCUCACCUCUGUCCCAUCUCUCUGUCUCCAAAUCGCAGAAAAGAAACCCUAAACAAAUCCCUGAAAUCCCUCGCCUAAAUCCUCCUACAUUUCUCUCGGACAACCCCCUCUUUCUCUUUGCAAACCCUAAACCAAAUCUCCUAAAUCCUAUCUCAGGCACCACACAUACAGCCAAGAAGCCAAGAUAUUAAAGCAAUCUCUAUAUAAUACUUUGGAACAAUGAAGAAAAAUGGUACUUACUUGUUCCUUGUCCAAAACAGUUGGUGCCGCCGCACAUUGUUAUCAAUUGUGGGUUGAUCAAAUCCUUCAUGGCUUAGACUGCAUGAAGAAUUAGAAACUAAAAGAUGAAUAUAUGCCGUAAAUCAUCAUAUAAAUGUAACUGCAUUUAAAAAAAGAAGGGAAUGACAAAAUUGAAUUCUAUUUCAUCAGUAUGUAACUGCAUGAAAAGUUACUUUGAAUGAAGACUCGAUCAAUUUCCCCAAAGUCAUUGUUAACUGAAAAUCAAUAUCAAACCCAUAAAUACCACAUUGAAUUUGACCAAGUUAAAGGAUAAAGGCAGUCGCAUCAUCGUAUUACUCUUUGGGAAGAUCUUCUAAUAAUGGUUCUUCCUUUUUCUUGCUCUUCCUCAGAACUGCCAUAAAAACCCCAGAGAAGCAUACAAAUUCAGAAAAGAAAAGGUUCAAAACUGCCAUAAAAAAAAUCCAGAAAGCAUACAAAUUUAUCAGAAAGAAAAGUUCAAAUUACAAAUACCAAAUGAUGUGAGUGAGUAGUGAGAGGUUGUGUUAGGCACCUGAAACACAUUUUGGUUUCAAUUGAAAGGGCCAGAGACAACAUCCACAUUCUUUUUUCUUGGGUGAACUAACCAAAUCAUAUUAUAUACUAAAAUGACAUAAAAAAUCAUUCACAAACUCACAACAAAAUAGAACAAAAAGAUUCACAAAAGAUUUGGGAGUUGAGACGCUAACAAAAACAUUUCUUUUCUAAACAAAUACACAACCGCUAAUCUGGGUUUGGUCAAUUUAACUAAAACGGUGCGCUAUUUUGCAUCUAAAUAUAGUAUAUCGCUUAAAUAAAAUUAAUAAAAAAUACACAUCCAAAGCUUUUAGUCCAAAGCUAGAAUUAGGAAUAACUGAGGAAGUUAAUGAAGGCAAAGCAGAGGGUAGGAUGCAGAACAUACCAAGAGACCAGUAGGCCAUCGGGGCCGGUCUGCCGAUGAACGCUGUGUACUGGUCGACAACGCCCAACGGAGUCGGCGCAGAAAAAAAGUAAAAGUCGAAACCACCCCCAAUGACUUUGUAGGUGAGAGAAGUCCCUAUGUAGAACACAUUCAUGCCAUUGCUGUUGAGCAGCAGAACGCAGUGCGCGUAAGCCUCGUUGCCCACAUUCCGGAGAUCCAUGUAAACUGGGUGGGACCCGUACAAAUCAGUGUUGAGAUUGAUCGCCGAGAAGUCAGUGGUGAAGAUGAUGUAUGGAUCGUUCGGGUAGAGCUUGAUCCCGUGCGGCUGAGAGUUCUCUUCGAGGCCGUACAAGGAGGAGUCUUUCGGCACUCGGGUGGAUAUCUUGAUGUCUGGUCCUUAAACACCAGUACUAGUCCAAUAAACCACUCCGCUUUUAUUGAUUUUCAAUUCAUGUUCAUUCGGGUCCCAAACAAGACUGAACGGCCCCGGAGCCGGGUUGUAGGUAUCUACAUAUGAUAUAAGUGCCCAGACGUGGCCAGCACUGCGGUUGACACCUAACUUCAUACCCGGUAAAAAUGUGUCUCCAGGAUAAUCACUUCAGCAGAUCGAGGGUGAUUUGAGGUGUUUUCCCGCUGAAUUGGACUUCGACCCAGGUAUGAAAGUUGUUCCUCUUAUCGAGAUCUUCAUUCAUGUAAAAUUUGGGAAUUUUAGAAUUGUUGAAUUCUUCGGCGAGUCAGGGCUACCAGCCGCCACGUGCUUCGGCGCGUGGCCCUUUGGCCGCCGUCCCAUGGCGGCUCGUGCGGUGAUGUAUGCAGGAAAACCUAAGGUUCCUCCUUAGGUUUUUCGAUGUACCAAACCCGAAUCCGCCGUCCUUUUUCCAAAAUUCUAACGUUUUCAUAGAGUUUUAUUAAACGACCUUUAAUUGUGUUUAGGUGCAUCGGUGGAAGUGACCUCAUUCUUGAUGGUUCGAGCGGCUUUCGGGCAAUGGAAAACUUGUGAGUAGACCCCUUCUAAACUUAUAUAUUGUUAUAAAAUAUUAGCCUAGCAUGCAUUCCAUAUUUCAUGAUUUGAAUAUGAUUUAUAAUAUGCUUUAUGGACUUUUAAUUAUGGUUUACGAAAUAGUUUGAUUUAUCGAAAUUACGUUUUAUUAGGUAUUGAAUUAUUGGAUUUGCAUAUAUGGAUUUCUAUGGUUUUCAAAUACGAUUUAUAUUACGGUUUUACGAACAUGAAUUAUUUUAUGGAUUUCAUGAAUACAAUUUAUCUUGGAUUUAUGAGAUGAGACUUUGAGCUAGUGAGCUCCGGGUUUGAUAUGAGUUUUGAGAUAUGUUUUUGGUACUUAUCUAGUGGGUUAUCAUACAGCACAUCCGCACACCACGGGUAUAGAUGUGUAUGGCCAUAGGACACAGAUGAUGAGGAGGAGUAAGAUAUGAUAUAUUAUAUACCCCCAGUUCACUAUCGAAAGCAGUGUCAGAUAACCUCACUAGCCAUGGCUAGUGUCGGUAUGGAUGUUAUGCUAUUUCAUACAGCUUCACCUUCGGGUGAUAGACAGGUUAUUUAGCUUCACCGUCGGGGUGAUGGACAUGUACUACCUUCGGCCAACUAUGAUAGCCUUAGUUGAGCACUUCACUGACAAGAUUUACAAAUUUGCCUUCGGGCAACGACAUUUUCAUUAUCAAGCACUGGAUUUUACAUAUCUACCUUCUAAAUGGAUUUUCAUGGCAUGCUAGGGUUUUUCAUAAAGCCUAUAUGUAGUAUUAUAUAUGUUUUCAAAAUAAGGGGUUAUUAUGUUCAUAAAUAAAAUGUUUUCCUAUUAUUAGUAUUAUUAAUAUAAACUUUGGUCCACUCACCUUUUCAGUUUUUGCGCCUCCUCAGGAGUUAGGAUCGAGGCACAUGAUCCCGGCAUCAUGGCAUGUUGAUAUAGGUAUCCUUGAAUCUUCUCAGUGUAGGUAUCAUUCCCUUAUUCAUAUCUUUUUAUAGUGAUUCUUCCCUAUUAUUUCUAAUUAGUUGUAUGCUCUAAACACAUUCCUGCUUUGGUAAUCGUUAUAACUACUUAUCUUGUAAUUGUUUGCAUGUUUAAAAUGGUUUUGUCACCCUUGGGCGUGGGCUAGCACGUGCCUACCCUGGUAUGUUGGGAUAUCGGGGUUGGGGCGUGUCAAAGAUAGAGAGUGAAUUUCUAGCAGAUUCAAUGGUUGUCUACAUUUUAAAAAGAGCUUGCCGAAAAGAUUGAUUCAGAUGAAAUAACAAAGGAUUUCAAUUCCAUUAAGGAUUGAAGGGCACAACUUGAAUAGGUAUUUUUCUUUUUAUUUGUUAGGUUGUUAUGACAAGAUUGACGAUGUAUGUUUCUUUAUAUUGUAAGUUGCAACUUUAAAGGUUUUCUUUGUUAAAUCUAGUUGAAACUUGAUUCAUUUAGAGUUAAAUUUCUUACUUCAAAUUGUUGCUUUUAGGCUUAUUAUUGUGUAACUUUAUGCAAGCAACAAAAAAUUUUAACCAUUUGAUUUUGUACUAAUAAUUUUAGCUUAGCAUGCCACCAAAUAAUUCAUGGCUCCGCUAUUGAAAUCUUAGCAUGUGCAAUUUCAAAGUCUCGGUUGCCAAGUCUCCCCAGGCUGUUCAGCACCCAUUCUGAAUCUUGAUCGAGAUCUAGAGCAGUGCAAGUCAAGGAGUCUUCAUUCUCAUUUGAAACAAUGCUAAAAUUAUACCUCAGCUUGGACUCCUUGGGCAAAAUAUACCCAAAUGUAUUAGUACUACUUGUGGAUACACCACUAGUCCAAAAAAAUCACCUCUCCUUUCUUAAUCUUCAAUUGGUGAGGGUCCCAAUCAAGCGUGAAAGGCCCCGGCGCACGGUUGGCUUUAGUUUCCCAUGAUGAAAUCCACGAAACAUGGCCGUUUGUACGGUUGACACCCAAUUUCAUGCCCGGUAAAAAGGUGUCAACUGGUAAUCAAAGCUUUACGUUCACUUCUUCUUGUACAAAAUUUCCCGAAUCCAAAAGGAUAGCCACAACAGUAGCAAUACUGUUACUUAUGUUGGUAGACCUAGUAGUUUGUGGAGCUGAGAAAAACGCAAUUGGAUUAGGAUCCCCCCCGCAUAAUUUUCAAGGUUUUAUUCCUGUCCAAGGCAAGAGUGCGUACAAAAUAGGGGCUUUACGGUUGCAAAUCCAAGCAAUGUUGCCAUCGGCCUUGUUGCUCUGGAUAGAUACGUAGCUGGUGCUUUUGGAACUGUCGUCGUGUACACAGGAACUGAAACUGAACUUCUCCGAUGCAGAGACCAAAGAAUUUGAGGAGUUGAGAGUGUCUCCUGCUGGUUUCAGUGUGUCCCUUGCAGGUCCACAGUCAGCAUGCAAAAAUGAUUAAGUUGAUUAUUGCCAUGAUUAAUUAAUGACCAUAACAUGAAGUUUAAUUUCUCCAUAUGAUGAGGAAGAAAGACAUGAAAUCCAUCACCAGAACAUGAUUAAGAAUUUAAUCAAGCAACGCGUCUCAGUUAAACCAUUACAAUCUUUGUACAAGGCAUUUAUAAAUUAAAAAAAAAGGGAAUAAAGUAAUAAUUACAAGUUUUACACAAGUGACCAUUUAUUACAAUGGUGGAAAGGUGUUAAGCUUUUGCAUGACGGUGUGAGUUCGAACCUCGUCGGUAGUUAAUCUACGAACCCCGUCGGUAGUUAAUUUAACUUCUAAUCUAAUAAAAUCUAUUUUUUGACCAAAAAAAAAAUAAUUACAAGUUUUACUAAAAAUUUAGGGGUGUGAUAUCCACACACCCCUUUUUACUUCUCUUACACCUUUUUUAUUUUCGACCGUCGGAUAUGAUGAAUUGAAGAAAAUCAACGGACAAAAAUUAACAAGGAAUGUGUGAGAAGUAAAAAGGGGUGUGUGGAUAGCACACCCCAAAAUUUAUCGGAAGACUUGAUCACCCAUUUGUAUGCUGACAACGGUGACUAGAUUCACAACCUCUUUCCCACGUAAAUCACAUCAUCCAAUUUUAUUUUUCUUACAACAUAUCACGUAUCUGUCAUAUGCAAGACUUUUUUUUUUUGUUUAACAUGAAAACGAAGACUUUUUUGGAAUAUGGAGAGUGAAAUUGCAGCGGAAGCAUCCUAGAUUUUUGAUCGAAUAUUGAGUUUGGUUUCAUGCCAGACUUCCUGGAUCAAACACACCCUAAAAAAAUAUAUAAAAAACCAAUAAGGUCAUGUGAUACGACAUCAUUUCAAGAGGAAAGGUACAAACAAUCUAGUUUCUAUACUAGGAAGAUUCACUCGAACAAAUUCUUGGAAACUAUGACUCAAACAAAAUUCUAGGAAUUCAGUAUUUUUAACAAAUGAUAAGCGUUUAAGAUAUAUUCUUUAUAAUAUUAGAGAAAUCGAACGGUUGAUCUAUAACUCGCAAAGUGGUUGUAGCUCAAGUAAUUUUACUCCCCAAUUUUACAUAAAACAUAAAAUAAAAACAAAUCCUAAUUUACAUGGUAAUUUUUUUUCAUAGCUAGGGACAACUUCGACUAUGGUAAUGCAAUUAAUAUACACUAGUUUUGGAUGGAGAAGUUUCAAGAUUGAGUAUGGGAUGGGGAGGGGCGAGAGACUUGGAUGGAGAGGUGAGGUUUUAUGAGUUAAACAGUGAUGCAAGGAUGUAUUACUUAAAACUUUAGAGACCGUAUGUUGGGCUAUAUAUAAUAUACGUUACAUGGAUAAUUGUUUAACUCAUAAACGUUUUGAGUGUUUCUAACAUAUGCUUAUCAAAAGCCUUCUCGUUCCAUCAAACAAUACGAAAAUUUUCAAUUGAAUGAAAGACAUACUAUUUUAUAUAUCACAGUACUUCAUGGAUCAUCAUCAUCACAUAUCCUUAAUUCAAAGGUAAUAAAUGAGCAUCUAGUUUUAUUUUAAUUUUAUUUUAUAUAGGGACUACAGAAGCAAGCACCCUCUGUAAAUUAAACUCUAAAACUUCUCAAGUAUCUUGAAAGGUGCCAAAAGCCAUCAGCCAACUCCAGUUGAUGCAUAACCUCCUACAUUUACAAAAACAGCGUCGCCGUUAAUUUAUUGACUUCUUCCCAGGACACAUACCAAUUUGCGAAAGUGGUUUGACUGAUGCUAUAAUUAGUCGAGUAAAGUACAGUCUUUUCAAUUAAGCAGAUGCAAAACACUUAGUUGAUGCACUACAAAUAUGAUUUUUACCUUUAAUUAACGCGCUUCAAAAUCAGAACUGGACUUGUAGUUUGCUGAAGCAACAGUUUCAAGUUGCUGAUUCCCACUUAUACCAGCCUCCACCGUCCUCCUUCCAACAAAAAAUGCUGGCUUUGUUGGUGAUGCUAAUGGAAAGCUUUCAUUUGUCAACAUAGAUAUGACAUCUGACAUGGUAGGGCGAUCUGCUGCAUUUUCUUCUACGCAAAGCAGACCGACAUGGAUGCAUCUUAACAGUUGCUCUUUAAUAAACGAAUUUCCUAAUGUUGGAUCCGUUAAUUCUAGCCCUGCACCUUUUUUCCAUAACUCCCAUGCCUGAAGAACAAGGAUUGCAUUUCAUUCUAAAGAAGAAAAAUAUGAUUAUAAAUUUUAAGAGAGAGAUUUGUUUGUCAUACAUAUCCUACUAAAUUGAGUGCGCGAUCGUCAUUGUAAAAGCUGUUGUUUUUCCUUCCACUUAUGAUUUCAAGCAUCAAUACCCCGAAACUGUAGACAUCAGACUUUACAGAAAUAAUUCCCCCCACGGACUCUGGAGGCAUGUAACCACUACACCAAAUGAAAAAGAAAAAUAGUCAGUAUACUUAUCUGGAAAAAUGCGUGUUUAGCAGUCAAAAGGGGAGGACCACGUCAAUAUGAUGCAGAAAUACUUACAGUGUCCCCGCAACCUUUCUAGUGUUUGCUUCCAAUUCAUUUUGGGUGAAAAUCCUUGCCAUACCAAAAUCUGAAAUUUUUGGGUUCAUGUUUUCAUCAAGUAGUAUGUUACUAGCUUUUACAUCUCUAUGAAUUACUUUCUUUCUUGAGUAUUUGUGCAGAUAAAGCAACCCUUGAGCAAUUCCUUCGAGAAUGCUAAAACGCUUCUUCCAAUCUAGUAGUAGACCUCUGAUUGGAUCUGUCCAAUAUGUUGAGUUAAGUAGGACUAAUAUUAAUUAAUAGUAGUACUCUAUGAACUUUGACAGUAAAAUAAAAAUCAGAUAGUAAAUUUAACAAAUGAAAUCAAGUAUCUUGGUUCCUCACCAAAUAAAAAGUGGUCCAAACUUUUGUUCUGCAGAUACUCAUAUAUCAACAUCAUUUCUUCACCAUGAAUGCAAAAUCCGAAAAGGUGAACCAGGUUUGUAUGUUGGAGUUCAUAUAUAAGUAUCAGUUCAUUCUUGAAUUCUGAUGUUCCUUGCCCUGAACAUUUCGAAAGCCUCUUCACAGCUAUUUCUUGUCCCGUUGCCAAUUUCCCCUGAAUUGAUAAUCCAUAUCAUGCUUUUGCUGUCAUUUUUAGGCAAUUGAAGCUAAUUCCAUUUUUUUUUUCUUACAGCUUUUGAAUUAGAAGCAGAAAUUUUUGUUUUUUCAAAAUGUUACCUUAUAAACCGGUCCAAACCCUCCUUGUCCUAGCUUGUUUUCUUCAGCAAAGUUUCUUGUGGCAGCCACGAUGGAUGAAUAGCUAAAAACGCUAAAAUCAUGAUGUCGCUUAGAUUCAUGAAGAUAAGCAUUUCGUUCUCAAGCGUUGUCCGGUUCUCACCUAUACAGAUCAAUUAUAAGAAAUUAAAGUUUCAAUGGAGACAACAAUUGUCAAAGAUGUGAUUAAUAAUCCUGUAUUACUGGUGCACAUGAUUUAAAGAAAUAUACCAGCUGAUGCAAGGGCUGAUCUUCUUCGUCGGAGUAGAUAGUACGCGGUGCAAAGCACUAGAGCAGCAGCUAUAGAAAUGCCAAUCCAAACCCAUUUAUCUGCUGCAUCAUAAACAAUUAGCUAGCAACAUAUGCAAUCAGUGUAACACACACGGACAUGUACGCAUUAAUUGUCUUCAAUUUUUGGAUGAACUAGGUCUUGCAGGUUUCUUCCGGAAAACGGAAAAAUUCGAGACAGAGAGCAGAACUUAAGACAACAAUAACAAAGAUAGAGGUACCUAAUAAUACUGAUUCCACGCGUGUCACAGAUUUCCGGCUCAAAUCGGGUUUGCAGCCUCGGUAUAUAUCCUUCGGAUCAAGAAAAGAAAACCCUUUUGGGCAUUCGCAGGUUGGCCUUUUAUCUGGUUUGAGCAUACAGGUACUGUUGUAACCGCAAACACCAACGCCCAGUCGUAGGCAAAUAUCAUCCGGCAUAUACACCAGAGGACUAAUCCAACUUGCAUUUCCCGUGAAGUUUUUCUGGUGAGAAUAUAAAGCGAAAAUCCCAUCAAAAUCAAGAGUUGCCCUUAUGUAGUUGUCCCUCACCGACACUCCCUCUGUCCCCUUAAGAGGGACUCUUCCAUCAUUUUCUCUUAGAACAAACAUGUCCCCUGAGCUGCUGAACACCAAUCGUUUGCCUUGACUACCUGGCACGUUCCCUGACGUGGUCUUCGUGGAGAAGUAAGGGAUGUUGGCAUUAUCUGUUGUGACGGAAAUGAGCACGAGGUUUCCAUCACCUUGCAAGCUCAGCCGGAACCGCCCUUUUGUGUAGUUAGUCUCCGAUUGUCUACACGAAAGCGUCCCGUUUCUCUCAAUUGUCUGUCCAGGCAAAACGGUGUCUGUAGGAUUGCUGAAGGUCUCCCACAAGCUCCCCGAGUUUUGGUGUUGAAGGACGAAGUUUCCGGUGUCAUUCAUGACCCCGUUCGCAACAGUCCCCAAGGUUAUUUCGGAUUUCCAUAUCUCUCCACCCUGAGGAUUGUUAAGAACUAGUCCACUGUUGGCAGUCAAGUUCAGAACUGAUCCCCUAGGUGCAACCAUGGGGUUGUUACCGUCAUAUGCAUACCAAAACUACGGUUUUGUCUGGGAUUUUCGCAUACCAUAUCGAAAGCAAGAAACGAUCAUUGUUUCCGAGGGGCGAAAAUCCAAACGCGAAAUCACCGGAAGGAGAAAGCCAUGAUGAGGAGUCGCCUGUAGUUGCAGUUAGAGAACUCCCAACUGCUACUCUUCCAUUAUUUUGGGAAAUCACAGAAAUUGGUAGCAAAAACAAAGAGGAGAACAAAAGCAUCUCUACAGAAAGAGCCACUGCCAUUGCAAAAGCACCAAUUUUUCAACUUGGCUUGAUUGAUUAGCUAUAUUUCUUAGUAAAGCAUUGGUCCUUGUUAUAUCUUUAAGUAAAUGCGUGUGCACCAUGUGCCUGUCAUUUUCUAAGUUUUUGCCUGGAAUUAAAGGCGUCUACACCAUUUUUUGAAGUCACACACAACAAUAUCUCCGGGCCUACAGAAUAAAUUCUCCGAACCUACACAUAUCACAAGAAUUUCACUUUGAAAAAAAAAAUAUAAUGAAUAGUUCUAUAUAUAAUGACACCGAGACUUUUUGUGAUUGAAUUUAUUCUCUCUCAACUCCUUUGUAAUGUUGCAAGUUGGAGCAAUAUUGACGUAAUUAGCAAUGGUCCGCUGACUUGUCUCUCUCAAAUCUCUUAUCAUCCUACUCUCAUCCCUCGUCUGUUUUAUGAUUCUACUUACUUAAGCACUUAUAAAUGUUCCAAAUCAGCAAAGGACUUGUAACUUAAAUAAUUAAUAAUAUUUAUCACUACACUCGAGAUUCUAGGUUCCAAAAUAUAAUAUAUAAUAUAUAUGAAUGUUUCCGAACCAAAAGGACAAGUAAAUACGAGCAUGACUCACGCUGCAUGGGUCGGCCAUUCAAGUCCACCAGUCAAAAUUCAACAAUGGGGCCCACAAAGAAAAUUUGAAAAAGUACAUGCAGAUUGGGGACGGAUACAAAGAAAAUCUGAAAACAGACCUCCAGAACCAAACAAAGACGACUAAGCCUUUAAGUCAAGUGACAAGAGACUUAUAUCUUCACAAAAACAAAGACGACUAAGUCUCAAUUUCUGUAUUCACAAAAAAAAAAGUACUAACUGAAGUUUUUAAUGUAUGAUUACGUCGUUGGGGUAAAACACCCGAUGCCGAGUUGAGAUAAUCACAGGGUUGGGGAAUCAAGAACCUCUUCGAAUGUCACAAUCUAGCGCAAACGGAUGUAGAGACUCAAACCACUUAUUUUAAAUCAUACGGCCUUCAUUAGCCUAUCCUAUUGACCCACAUGGUCCAAAUCUGUCUCUCCCCUCUCUUGAACGGUUUGGAUAUCUCGAUUUGUCGAUUUUGGAUUGCGAGAUUCAAAGAGAAUCUGAUUUCAUGUUUGAGGUGAGGUUUGACGACCAUUUGAAGCCCGUUGAGGCGUGGCCCAUCUCAUCAGGUCGGGUCAGCCAUUUCGUACCAGGUUGGAUCCCAGGUCAGGCCAACCAUUUCAUUAGCCUAAGAUGGACCUGACAGACGAGGCGCUUGGAUAUUGCCUACCGCGACCAAAUGGACCCAUGGACUCAUUAGAUGAUGAGUCUGGACCCUGGUGUGUGUAAAGCCCACCUCAGCUCGAUCCAUAUUCGAUCGAUACUACAAAGAAGGUGGAUAUGAGGUAAAGGUAGAGUAAGCUCCAAGUCAUGUGGAGGUCAGUCGAGAUUGAACACACGUUCAUAGAAUCAUAGUAUCAAAUUCAAGUCCAAAUUUUAACACUACGAAACCGAAAAGCAUUGUUUCAGUCCAACAACCCAAACUUCCUUAAAAAAACUAAGACAAAAACGACGACACUAGGAAACGGAAAAACAUGCAACUCAGAAAACCAUUACUCUAGUCCAAAUGAGGUUCCUCAAUGCCUCAAGCUUUUAUAAAACACCAUAGCCUGAACCUUUUCCUUUGCGCCUUCUUUGCUUCACCAGAAACGUUCUUAAUGAGCUCCUCUUCAAAUUUGGGACGAGCAGGCAUUAGGCUGUGCACAAUGCUGUAAACGCCCCUAGCCCUUGCCACACCCUAGGUGCGUACGCGUGCAUGUCCGACCUGAGUUAUCUUAUUACGCGCGCAGUUUGAUCUUCCCGUAUUGACAUCCCUGCUGUCUAUUCUCCUGCGAAUCCUUCUGCUGGUGACUUCAUCCGAGUCCAUUUUCUUGCUCCUCAGUGCAUGUUCAUCUGCUUUUCCCUGUUAAUAAAUAUAGGAAUCCCAUAACAAACAGCAUUUGACAAAACAGAACGUAAUAAUAACAACAAAACUUGACUCCAUCCUCAGUGCAUGUUCAUCUGCUUUUCCACUUCAAAGCAGCUGACGGCACGAUUCGUACUUGGACUCCAAAAUGUCUAGAUUAUGGAGAAACCAGCCUUCUAUCCAAAACACACAAAGAAGUGUAUUUUCCGUUUAUACCAAUUAAGUGUGUUGAAGCAUGUCCCACAUGGCCACAUAGGAAACUUGUUGAGGUUUAAAUCCUCUUAUAUAGAAAGUUCGACUACUAAUUGCCUUGAGGCCUUAAUUCUGUAUAAAACCAUACCUAUUGAAUUGCACACGUGCUUAAGUUAAGGUCAGUAUUGAUGGUAAUUAGUAGUGGGCUGCUGGGCCGUCUUAAAAAAACUGGUACAAAGGGCAAUUUAUAGAAGCAGUGUUGAGAUAAGGGCAAUUCAUCUGUUCUUUUUAGAAGGAUAUAUAUGAAUGAAGCAAGGUUUAUCUGCUAAUGCGGCUCAGCCCUUUAUCAAAAAGUGAAAGAUCAAAAUUACUUUUACAGCAAGAGCAAUACCAGAAGAUGUAAUCUAAAUUAUUUAUAUUUGGUUCCCUUGAAAUCCUUUUGACUGCUUCAACAUACUAUAUGCAGACAGAACCAGAACCAAGUCCAGACUCACUCGUAAUAGGUCUCCUCAUCCACAACAAUAUCCCAGCUUUCCCUUGUCGUGGUUUUCCCAUAUUUGUGCACCUUACUGCAAAGAGAGAGCAAGUUAACUUGUCAAAGAAAAACCAGAACAAUAGAUGCCAAUGCAGUUCAAAAAGUUUAUUUCCCUUCAUACCCAUUUCCGAAGUGCUCUUCUCCCCAUGUCCUUGACCAACCUAGACAUGAGAGAACAAAAACAGAGUUACAUCAGAUUAAAUUAUUGAAAGAAAAAGGUUCACUUCUGUUGUAACAAAUCGACAUUAGAAUCAAGCAACCACGCUAUGAAAUACAAAUUUAAAAUGUAACAAUUUACUGUGUCUAAAAGGAAUCUUGAAAUAAAAUAGUUAAACCCUAAACAGCACCACUGCAAAUAGCAUAAGAAAAUUAAAAUUAACCCUAAAGAAAUUGGGAGAGAAGAAUAUGAAAAGGGAAUACCUUUCGGCCCCUUUGAGUUAUUGGAAAAAACCCAACAGAGCAAAAGAUAAACAAAAAUACAGGCGGAAAGAAAAUAAAUUUUCAACUUGUAAGAUUCAUACGCGAACAGAUUGGUGGUCAAAAGCAUUUCGGAAUUCAGAGCCAUCAAGCUUUUUGAUCUGCAUGGAAAUUAUUUAUGAAGUUUGAGAUUCUUAUAGACGCUUUAGACACAUCGACAUAUUGAGAAAGCAAUAUUCAACAACCUAGUACCCAUGCUCCAUAGAAGGUUGAGAAAAUAUGAAUGUCUGGACUCUGGAGUGAGAAAGUAAAAGGACUUACCGCAUACUUCAUAUCUUCUAACUUUGUGUAGUCUACAAUCCCUGUUGUGCCUACAAAAAAGGCAUAGGACAAAAGCUAAAUCAAUCGAAAUUCUGAUGUCAUGAUCUAGGUCUUAGGAUUAAACUAUUGAAAUAACACUAUAUGAAAUAGCAGUGUAUAUCCCAAAAAAAGUAUGAAAUCUGGUUGAUAAUUGCAGAGUUCGAAGGGAUUUACCUUUGGAUUCUUCGGCUUUCAGAUGGAGUUUGCUUAUGUAUGGGAGAGAGAGGUGGAGCGGCUAGGGUUUGAGUAUGGAAGAGAUGAAAAAUGGAGAGAACACCUGUUUUGGCUGCAGCAACUCACACACUCCGGACAAAUCUGCAAAUGUCUAAAGGGGGGAAAAUAUAAAAAGAAACCUUAACAACUGAAUUCAAAGAAACAUUAUUACAUUGUAAAUAGCAUUUCACAAAAAAAAUAAAAUAAAAUAAAAUAUACUAAACUAAACUAAUUACACUCGGAUUGCAAUGCUAUCAUUUAAUAAUAGGAAUUCCCAUAACUUAGCAGAAGAUCCUGCAUCUGCAAAGGAUCCUUUAAAACCUAUUUUUUUUAACAACCCCACACCUGCAACACAUCCAGUCAAGGUAAACCAAUAGCACCCUCAUGCAGAGCUCUUCUGUGCAUAUAUACCCCUUAUAAGUAAUCUUAAUCAAUCAGUUAUCAUGAAUAUACAACUUAUAUUAAUUUUCUACAAUAUCCAACACACAAAUAUAACAGAAGAGGAAACUUUUACUUAAGCAGCACAAAAUGAUAUCCUCUGCAUUUCAUUCCAAAAUCCAUCACUCUUAUGUCUUUGCCUGCACAGUUUUUGCUCCAACAUAGCCUGCAAUGAUGAUAUAGCACUAUCAAUAAUUAAGACAUAAAGAAAGGCUAUCCUAGCUAGGUAUUAUGAUUGGAGUAAACCAACAACACCAUAAGUAAAGUAGCAGACCAAAUUUUUUUUAGAAUUGAUGUCUUAACAUGUUUAAGUAGCAAAAAGAUUACAACACAUUGGAUGUGUUAACACGUCCAUAAGCUGAUGACUCCCUCUCCGGUUUACCACAUCAUUCUUAAUGUACUCAACAAUGCAGCAGCAAUUAAAAGUCCUUGGAAAAUGCCAAGCUACUACAAUGACAUAACGAAAACUAUAUCUCACCUUACACCCUUGUUGGCAUAGACAACAUAUCCGUCCUUGUUCGGGGUGAAUCAUAAUCCUGAAUUCAAUUAUCAUCAUCGUCGAGAAUGUCAAACUGUAAAUCAACCAUGCAUGGAACAAAACUUAGAAAUUAAACAAUUAUCAAAGCUUAUGAAGAAUGCUAAACCCAACUAAUUCGAAACAUAAAGUAACCCGAAAGAGAGAAAACUUAUAAAUUUUACAUAAAUUAUAAUCCUUAACAGAAGGAUGGAACAAAACAGGUUCAUUCUUAAGAAUAGAUGUAACUAGUAAUAGGCCUGCGCGCUGCUGCGGGACUUGAAUGCACCAGCCUUAACAACAUGAAUAAGACACAUUUAACAUGAAAAAAAUUCAACAUAAUCAUGAACGAACAAAAAGGAUAGCUGAGUGAACAGUGUUCGUAAGUAAAACAGCUUAGUUUUUAUAUACAUUCAACCAAGCUGAUUACAAAAGAUGUGAUUGUAAAAAAUGUUCUGCUUACCUGAGAAACAAAAGCAACAUGCAUUUUACACAUACAAGACAUCUGAUAUUAAACCUAAAAUCAUGUAAUUCUGUAUGAAGUGGAGAAUAAUGCAGAAAGAUGGUUUUCUAUAGUGCUGCCAAUGACAAUUAAUUUCUCAUGAAAAAAAAGAAAAGAGAAACACAGGUAUAAAAGAAUAUUAUUUUUUAUAGUUGCAAACAUUAUGAAUUCCAAAAAGAAAAACUACAGAUAACACUUCAAUCACAGAUCUAAGCAUCUAAAACGUGGCAACCCAGAUACCAUUCAAGACAUUGCUCAGCAUCAUGGAUAAACUAACCUAUCUGUGUCCCUGUGCUCACUGCAUGUCAUAUACACCCGACCAACUGGGCAUAGGAGCAUAAUGAGGAAAACUUUCAGCACCAUUUUGUACCUGAAAAAUGAGGGAGGAACUAAUUAAAGCGUUCCUCACUUAGAAUAAAUAAUGCAUGCAUAAUAGCCAAAUGGACAUUGCGCAUAUAAAUUGUUGUGGCAAUAACUUGCAAUAGAAAACGUAGUUAAAAAUAAGAUAUACGAAAUACCAACAUUGCAAUGGUAUUUUUUUUUUCCAUUCGAUUGUACUGAAGCAUGCAUCUUAAAUUAGGUACUACGUGAGGUCUCUAUAAUGAAAUGGGAGAUUGAAUACACUUGACGAAACUGAAAAUUCAAAUAUGCACACGCUCCAUAGUGUAUCUUCACAACCAAAAGAAACGUUUAUAUAUACGACAUAUGUUUGACAUUGUUUUUCCCCACUCAAAUCGUCUUGAGAAAAUUUGACUACUAAAAACUACAAAACUUUGAUUAAAGAAUCAAAUAGAAUAGCAUGAGAAAGUUAUUAUUACACCAUACCUGACUUUUUUGCAUAUAAAAACACCUGUAUUUCACCUGAUUUUGUAAUGAAAUACAGAUGCUUGUAGUUCACCAGUACAUAGCUGCCUGUCAUUUGUUGUCUUCUUCGGGUUCAAGAUCCUUAUAUUGUCUGAGACGUGAAAGAAUCAGAAAUUGUAUACAGUUUGAUAAUGAAACAUGUAAUGUGAUUAUGUGACAACAAUGCACUCCUCUCUCUCAGAGAGAUAAACAAAGAUAUCAAAAACAGAGAGGCAAUGUUAAGAUAAACAGAAAGGCAAUGUCACAUUGUUUUGCAUGAUCUUGAAAAUUGGGGAUAAGGUAUUCAAAGUGCUAACAAACACGUGCAAAUGGGGAUAAAAAAGGGGAUAAAUUGAAAAAUAUAUAUGCUCUUAAUCGAGAACUUCAUCAAAUAAACAAUAAAAUCUAAUGUAAUCUGUCCAAAACCAAAGAGAGUGAUAAUUUGGAGGCACUAUAAUGUCUUGGGCAUCGCAUACUUGCGGUAUAUGAUUGAUGCAUCUGUUGCUCAAUCAAAUCAUUUGCUUGGCUAAAAAAGUUAUUUUUACAAUAAAUAGAUUCGCAUCCAAUUUAUGAGAAAUCAUGCAAAAGUAAAUGUAAAUGAUAACGGAAUCAUGAAUGCGAAUAAGAAACACAUACAUGCCAAAAAGAAAACCUACUAUAGUGUGUCAAGUUACUUGCAACAUAAUUUUUUAUGCCAUUAUCCAUUUCGCAAUACUUUAAAAAAAUUUCGUUUGAAAAAGCUUUGCUAUGAUUUUUAGGUUUGGGAAAAAUAAUACCAUAAAAAUUAAAAAACAAUUACUAAAAAUCAUGGCCUGUUAAUAGCAAAAUACACUCCUCAACAAUGUAUAUGAACAUGUGAGUUGAAAAUUUGAAAUAUUCAACAACUAAAAGAAAGAAGCAAAAUCAGAAGAAAAGAAAGAGAUACUCACUCAAAAAUAAAGAUGUAAUAAUGCCAGGCUUCUUCUCCUCGGCAUCCAGAAUUCCAUUGUUGUCUCCAUCUUCAACCUUCAAUGUAUUUAAAAUAUGAAAUGGAAAAAACCCAGAAGAAAUCAUUACAUAAAAUAAAAUUAUCCAAGUAAAAUUAAAGGAUGGAUAGAAAAGAAAUGAAGGCAGUUUAUUCGGACUUAAUUAGAGACUUACUGAAUAAGCUUGAAAUCUAUCUCACACAUCUCUUAAACUUCAACCCCUAUCCUCCUUGCCUCUGUAAUAUGCACACAUAUAGAAAAAGAAAUCGACUUUAGAACCUACAUUGAUACAUAUCUUGUGUGAGUAGGUCUUUCCUGCUUUUCCCCAAUCAUGCAUAUCAAAGAAACGAAAAAGAAGGAAAUCACCCAUAUAUAUAAUACCUUAAGUUUAAAUGCAUCCCAAUUUUGGGUUCCAACGUCACAGAAAGAAUGUCUUAUACAUAAUUUAACAGUACCCCCGACAUCGGUCCAUCCAUUCGUAUUAAUAGUUAUUGUCUGCACAAACCUCAAUUACCUUACAAUCUAUCAUUAUUGACAUAAAGUUCAUACAAUAUGGGACAUCAUGACCUCUCUUUGGCCAGCACCAGUUUUUCCAAAAUGAAAUCAACUAUUACUGCAUUAAUUAUGGGUCCAUCUGGCCAAUUCAUUGAAUUCGCAGACCCAAAAAUUUCACCAAUUAACUGAAUUUACAUACAAAUGGGAGAAGUACAAAAACAAAGACAAUGGCAUAAAUUAUACCAUAAAAAUUACACUACGAAAAAUUUAGAGACCAAAAUCCUUGUUAACAGAAUUUAUUCACAUUAAAAGACACAAUUUCGGUUCAAAAAACUAUCAAAUUUAAACUUUGAUAUCAUAUGAUAAAAUCUUAAUUAAACUCACAAUCUCAAGAAGUUGAAACCAUGUUAAGUAAAAGAAACAAAUUGAAAAAAAUUAAGAUGUAAAUAUUGAUAAGAACAACAAAAGUGGCAAAUACAUUAUACACAGAUAGGACCCUGAAAUAUCGGAACCAGCAGCAACAAAUAGAAUUAAGAAGAAAAAGGAUUAGCAGACUUAAUAAAUGAGAAAUAGGAUAACAGGUACGAACUCAGUUUUUCCACUAUGAAUAAGAGAUCCAGUGGCAUAACCUAACAUUAGGUAGAAUCAAUGCUGGUUGAUUGAAUUUUCAUUCCCUGAAAAUUCAGAAAAUGAUGUGUUUUGAUCUGCAGAUAGAAGCAUUCUAUAUAUAUAAAAAAAAAAUAUAUGGAGACAUGAUGAGGUUCAGAAACCAAACCAUGUCGGUAAAAUCCUCUUGGCAGGUUGCUCAAGGUUGACCUCCUAGCCCUUGGACCAGUCAGGAGACUUGGCCUCCUGCUUUCAAGUUUGGAAGGGAAGUAAAAGGUUCAGCCAAUAAGUAAAAGAAUUGAUUCAGAGGAUAGAAUCAAAAUUUCAAAAAUAUUAUUUGAUGCGAUUAAAACUGUUCCCAAUGAUAAAAUGAAUAAAAAAAUCCAUUGGAAUAAAAGAAAAAGAAUGAUUAAAAUUAUUCACAACCCUUGCUGUUUUUACCUAACCAUUUGUAGGAUCCAUAAAGGGCCAAAAAAAGUUUUUUACUUCUCCUCUAGUCCCAUAAAUUUGGAUUCCAUCUCGUCCAAGCAAACUAACAAUCAUUACUAUACUUUGUUUUAGCAUGCGAACACAAAUCUCAAAAAAAAUAGAUAAUUCAUUUACAAAUUUAAAUUCAAUUUUUAUAUCUCGAUAUUUGUUUGUUAAACUCAAUGAUCAAACUUCAGACUCAUGCCUUCCAAAAAGAAAAGAAAACGAAGAAGAAUUGAAAGCACUUCCCAUUCCAAGGAAAGAGCAGCCAUAAUUAGGAUCCAAAACUCAUUCUUUAGUCUCCUCAUCUGAAGCUAUAUAUAAUCAUUGAACAAAAACGUUUAACGUCCAGCAGAAAGCAAACUGCAAUCAAAAUUUCAAAAAAGCAAAAUAAUGCGCAGAUAAUCGACAGCUGCAACAAACAAAAAAUAGAAAAAUCAAAUGCAGAUUGAAGGAAAAAUCGAGACCGCAAUCGAAACUCAUGCUUGUAUGGGUAAUUAAUUGUAGAUACCAAAUCAUCAAAAACCACUUGUCUACACCAAAUUGCAUACAAAAGAUAUUGGGGCAACUCAGAUUGUGCAAUGAAAAACAAAGUCAAACUACGACGUAGAUGUCUAUCGGAAUUUCAUUCAAAGAAUGAUUAAAUAAAGACAAUGGCAUGCCAAAGAUUAAAUACCCUAAGCGACAGUGUCAGCCAUGAGCUUCCCUCUGUGAGAGCACAGGGGUGUAACUGCAAAAGAAAGCCGGAGACUGAGGGCAAACUGUAAUUUCGUCAAAAAGGAGGAAGUGUACAAAAGAGAAGUGACAGCAAUAAGCGUAGACGCCAAGGACAAAGUAAAUAUGUAUUUGUGAAUGGGGUUAAGCUGCUGCUAGCUUUGUAUAGUGUAAUAAUGCAAUUGCAAAUAGACCAAGUUACUGCUACUAAAAGCUUUUGCAAAAUCAUAAAACUCUUAACAGUUUGAACCCUACCGAAAAGUUUAUAUGAGUUAAAGAACAGUCGUACUUAAGUGCAGCAAGAUCAUAAGCUCUUGCAGCUUCUCCUCCAUAUCAGAACCACCUGCAGUCCAAAUUAACCAAGAUUCAAGGCCAAAGCAAGAACAAAUUAGUGAUAAUUUAAACUAAAGUCCCUAAUUAUUGUUGCAGAGAGAAUUCAUAUCAAGAUUAACGACAUUAUUUGAUUCGAAUGGAAUCCAAACGCAGCAUAAACAUGAAAGGUAAAAAAUUAAUACCAAAAGUCACAUUUAAGCAGCAAUUAAUAGCAUAAAUCAGAUUUUAGUGGCAUGGACCAAAAUAAUUCAGUAAAAAAGAAACAAUCCCAAACAAAUAGAAAGAACUGGAGAAACAAUUCGAAACAAAUCUUCGGAAAGCAACCCCAUCCCUCCCUCACCCUCUCUCUCUCCAAUUCCAACUUCUCCCUACAUCUCUCUGUCUAUAAUAGAUGUGCAGUUUUAUUAAUCUUUGUUGCCGAAGCGUGCAAGAUAGUGAAAAGAUUGUUUAUCUAAGAAAAAAAAGGGCACAUUUUAGAUGGAGACAGAUGGCAUUUAACAAAUUCUUCAUUAGUGGAGUAAAUAAUUUGCAACCACCUAUUUCCUGGUAGCAUUAAAAAAAAAAUUCAAUUUUAAAAAAGAAAUGUACUUUUUAGUUCAAUUUCCACAGCCAUAGUAAUUUAUGUGGACUAAAAUUAAGAUUAACUAAUACAUCCAAUCAACUGCAACUAAACAACUUAUAGUAAUUGAAUCUGUGUUUGUGGAUGUGAGAGAGAGAGAGAGAGAGUUAUCUAUUAUAAAGCCAACCUUCUUUGAAUUGGUCCUCUUAUGGCUUAUUACCAAAACUCUCCAUUGCAUUUGCAGUAAUGCCCUCUGCUUCUCCUCCUGCGAAUUAUCAUUCUGUAAGUAAAAGGUACAAAAACAUCAAUUACUUAAUGGUAGAUAUGUACUUUAGACUUUUGAAGAUCCAAUUCAUCCUGCAUCUUCUCACACUCAUCUUCAUGCUGAAGCUGCAAACCUGUCAGCUCAGCUUCAAGUUCGCUCCUCAUUGAAGUUAUUUUCUAUGAAAAUGAUAAACUGGUUUGUAACGUAAGCAUAUAACACUCUAGUUAAAUUAGUAGUUCCAACUUAAUUCAAAGCUAAAAACGACAUUAAUGACCACAAUUUAAGAAUCCAGAAACAGCCCAAACUAACAACACACACAGAGGACAGACACUGAAAGACAUAUUUUUUUAGAGAACCUAACUAAAAAUUAAAAACAAACCAAGUAAAAUUUUCAGAGUUUAAAAACAGGAAACCAUUACAAUCUUUACAGAAACCAACUAAAAUUGGAAUCUGAAAAAAAAUCCGCUCAAUUUUAACAGCCCUGCUGCAUAUAUUGGGUUUUUUUAGGCAUGAGACAACACAAACGAAGAAAACAUAACAUAGUUGUAAACCUUAGGCUCCAAUCAGGUCAAGUGUGAGAUUUCAAACACGGAGAUUUACUCCAUGUUUAAAAACUGCCAAAUACAUUGCCAACUGUUAAGAGUAUGAACUACAAAUCUAUAAAGUAAAAAGACUUGCAGAUAAGUUUAAACAAUCAACAUUCAACUUAUGAUUGUUACUGUUUUUUAGCUGGAUGUUCACAUUCUAAUAAGGUAUUAAAAGAGAUUAUAAGCGUGUGUGCUCUUAAACCACCCAACACCAUGUAUUAAUCAAAUAAUUAACAUCUAAAGAUGGAGACAUGAAACACGAAACCUGCAAUUAGAUCCCAAUCACAAAAUGCCAAAAAAAUCCUAAUCUAACCAUCCCUAUACUAAUAGCCCAUUCGAGCAGCUAUUAGCACCUAACCCGCUACUUUGGCAACCCACCAACCCGCCACACCGUCAUGUCCCAUCCCCUCUCCACCACUCACUAUAUCUCUCACCUUUCUUUCUUGACAUUUCGCUCGGUGCACACAAACACCAAGCCAACCAUUGCCGGCCUUUGUCUAAAAGUGGACAAAAUCCCAUAGGUCCUGGCAGAGGACCUAGCUAAAUCUCUCUCCCACUCAGUCGAAACCCGUAGCUACCAUUUCUCUCCAAUCUGUCAGUCUCUCUGUCCCCCUCUUCUCCUCCCCCCAACAACCCUCUGACCGAUGCAUCACCCACAGCCACACCCACCCGCACCCGAGUCAAAAAUCCCAACGAUCCUCUCCCUCCAACCCGUCAACAAAUUAUGGAUUCCGAGAAUGUAUCUUGAAAACUCAGAUGCACAUGAUUAAAAUUAGUAGAUAUUAAGGACGUGUACUUAACAGAACAACACGAAGAACGAAUGAGUACAUUACAAACUAAAUGACCGUGUCAGCUAGAUACUUCUUAAAGAACACCUCUAAUCUACCAGUAUGAUUACUCAGUUUUUGGUUUUUAAAUUAAUACCCUAAACCUUACAUUCAAACUCAUUUCGAAUGCAAACAAAAGUAAAUGAUAAGUCCCGAGCUUUUCUUUCUAGCCUCAACUCAACUCAAGUUCCCAACCUUCACCUUCCAAUACAAAGAAACUAACGCAUCAAUCUGCAAUUUCGCAAACAUAUAAUUCAACUAACCAAGUUCUGUGUCCACUCAAAUGCACAUAUUUGAGCUCAAUCAAACUUAAAUUUGAAACAAAUAGUGAUGAAAGAUCAAACAUUUAUACCUAGCUUAGGAUCCGAACCAAUCUCCUCUUUCGCCUCCCUCGUCGCCGUGUCCCCAUCGUCCUUGUCCCCCUCCUCUGUUUUCCCACCCGGCAAAGAAACUUCACCUGCAGAAACACAAAACCAAAAAUUAAAAAACCAAUCUUUCCCAUUUCCAUUUUUAUCAAUUUCCUCAAUUUUUCCCAUUUCCAGAAAAAUGAGCAAGAAGCUUAAGCAGGAAAAAAAUCAUAAUUUCAACAACCAAAACCCAAUACCCGUUUAAUCAUACACGAACGAAAAAUCUAAACACAGAGUCACAGAUUAACGAACUGAAAACCCAAAAAAAAUAAAGGAAACUGACCUUACUUAAGAACAAUACAUAGAACACAGAGAAACGAAACAAAUAAAGGAACCCCCAAAACCAAAUAAAGGAACCCUCAAAACCUGACCUAACAGUGCAACAAAAUCUGGAAAUAAUUCACAGCAAAAAGGCAGAAAUGAUGACAAUCUAUGCUAACAGUAAAGAAUCGAAUUAAAAAUUGAACUUAGCUUUUGAAAUCCAGCCACUCAUCCGACAUGCAAAAGGGAACGGAUGAUCGAGAGUGAAUCAUGGACUGAGGGACCUUACUCGACCCAUCAUUGGAGCUACGUUUGUAGCUUUUGGGGAGAAAAAAAUUGAAUGUGAAAGCUGCUUUUGAUGUGGCCAUUAAGGUGGUGCUUCAGCAACCGAAGCAAAAGAAGAAGAGGCAGAAAAAUGUGAGUAUUCCAUGAAGAAAAAAAAAAGGUUAAAAAAUCACUAAAAAGAAAAGGCAGAAAAAUGCAGGGUAUUCCAUGAAGAAAAAUUCAACAAUUAAAUAAUAUAGCUGUAAACCUUAGACUCCAAUCAGGUCAAGUGUGAGAUUUCAAACACAGAGAUUUACUUCAUGUUAAAAAACUGCUAAAUACAUUGCUAACUGUUAAGAGCAUGAACUAUCUGUAAAGUAAAAAGCCUUGCAGAUAAGUUUAAACGAUCAACUGUCAACUUAUUAUUGUUGCUGGUUUUGAGGUGGACGUUCGUAUUCUAACAUGGUAUUAAAAGAGAUUAUAAGUGUGUGCGCUCUUAAAUCAGCCAACACCAUGUAUUAAUCAAAUAAUUUAUAUCUAAAGAUUGAGACAUACAACAUGAAACCUGCAAUUAGAUCCCAAUCACAAAAUGCAAUAAAAAAAUUCCUAAUCUAACCAUCCAUAUACUAACAACCUAUUCGAGCAGCUAUUAGCACAAUUUACCUCCCUCUCUAUUCUUCCCCACCCCCUCUUUAACCAAAUAAAAACUCAUUUGUCUCACUAAAUAAAAACCUCAAAUUUGUUUUUUCAAAGCUGCAACAACAUCACUAAAAACACCAUGUAAUAAAAAUUUAAAAAAACCAAUCCAAUUUAAGUCGAGAAGCAAAUGACCAAACCUCCUAUUUUGAGGAAACAUUUUGCAUUCAAACCUAAAAUGCUUGCCUGCAAAGAAGGAUUAAAUAGCAAAGCAGACUUUCGGGGGAAAUAAAAAAAACAGACUAUUUAUAAUACAAUAAAAAUAAAGUAAUUCAUCAUCCCCACCAUCUCUGUGAGCUUUAACAGAACAGAGGAAUCAAAUUAAGCAAUAUAUAAAUUUAAGUUGACAUUCCAGUGUUCUACCUCUAACCUUGGUAGCAUGCAUGCACUGUAAGUUAUAAAGUGAAUUAAGCCAAGAUCUUCUAACUUCAUGAUUUUCACAUAUGCAUUAGAUGGAGAAAUACAAUAAAUAAUCAAAUAUGUAAGACUCUGAUAUUCAAAACCAAACAAACCCAAUUACACUUUUAGUUCACUAACCCCAUUGAAUAAAAUCCAAUUCAAUAAAAUAACAGAAAAUUAAACAACCCAAAAAUCAAAACAACCCCACUUGUAGUUUUAGCUCACUAAUCCGUUGGAUAAAUAGAUGCCAAAUUCAAUCAGAAAACAUACAAUUAACAACAACCCAGAAGAGCCAUCCGAAAACCCAACCAAUUAACCAAAAAAUACCACUUGUUCUUUUAGCUUAGUAACCAACCUCUACUUGUUUUCUGGCAAAUUUGGGGUCCUUUGAUUUCUAGACUUUCAGUAGAAACUGAUUAUACCAUGGGCUAAUAUUCAAGUACCACAAAAUAUAAUUUUACCGUAGUAAGCUUUUUGAUUCACUCCAAACGAAGAUAUUAUAUGUUCACAUAUAUAUAUUCACAACCAUAAAAAGAAGAACUUAUCUCUGGCAUUUUAAUAAAAAUAAAAAUAAAUUAUUCACCCACAGUAAAAACCGAAACAGCUAAAUUAAACCCAAAAAUUAAUCAUGAUCAUACAUAUGUAUUCCUGACAAAUGUUUAGCCCUUUAAUUAAAACACUAAAAUAAAAAAUUGCUCACCCACAGUAAAAAACCGAAACAUGCAAACCAAAGCCCAAAAUUUAAUCAUCACUAUUACUUUUUUUUUUUUUGGUGUUUUUAAGUUUCAGGGAAAAAUGGAAGCACAAACAAUCAAAAAACCCAAACAAAAAGAAAUUAACACCAAAGAGAUAAAUUAUAUACCUGACCCAGAAAAAGCUUGGAAGCUCACAUAAUGAAACCCUAAAACUCGAAGAAGGAUGCUUCCUGCAAACCAAAUACAAAAUCAGACUCUCUCUCUUAGAAAGAGAGAAGUUAUCAAGUCCUGUACUUGGUUAUAUUUGUUCAAGUUAGGAAAAAUCGAGUACAGGGUUGGUACCUGGAGCUUGAGAAAUCAGAGAGCUUGCCUGUUUGAGAAAAGAUGAUAACAACAGCUUCAGAUUCACACAGAAAACGUACAAAAAACGCACAACAUGCUCUCUGCCCUCUCUCUCUCUCCCUCCCUGUCCAUCCGUCCCUCAAAAAGUGGGAAAAAAAAUCUCCAAACGUCUCUCCCACUCAUGAAAUCGAGGAUCUGCAGCAAUGGCGCUGAGGUCGCCACUCCUCCCUCUCCCUUUCUCUGUCGCUCUGUCUCUGUCUCUGUCUCUGUCUCUGUCUCUCUCUAUCGAAGGCAUGGCCUUUCAUCCCCGAAACCCUCACUGAAUGACAGCAAACCCAAACCCACCCCAAUCCGUCUCAAACACACAGGACAAAAUUGCCCUUCCAACCCAGCCCCAAUACCAGCCCAAACCUUACGGUUUUGUUGUAAAUAGCGUGAAAUCGAGUGGCUCCCUGAUAAGCCAUAUGGACAAAAUUACCCUCUGAAAUUUUGAGAAUCACCCUCCCAACCCACUCCCAUUCGGCUGGUACUGUUGUAAAUAAAGCAAAAUAAAAACAAACGUGAAUAGUGCCUGCCCUCCCCCUACUUUAGUAUAGAUAAUUUUGCACAUUGCAUAUAUGUAGAUUAAGGACGGUGGUAACAUACCUUGUAAUUUGUACAAAUUAGGAUUUUCAUUCAAAGAACUAUAAUAUACACAAUUACAAAAAAAGUGAUUCAAACUUGUUCUUCUCUUAAGGAAAUUACUCACAGUUGAAAUUCUGAAUGGAUGAAGUUUUGGCUUCCCUUUCCGACUAUAUUUGAUUAACCUUUUUUUAAUCCAAUGAGUGCCUUCAUGAGAGAGAGAGAGAGAGGAAUAUUAGGUGAAAAGUAUUGCCAAAUCACACAGAGAUCAAAAUCUUGAAUAUAUAUGUUUAACCAUGUCAAAGUGAGUGUGUAAAGGGUGUAGUCUGCAGAAAGGGCAACAUUUUCACUGCUAGAAAGUUGGAAACUAAACUUUUACACAGAUAUUGGAUUUUAUUAAUUCCCUUCGCGAAUUGAAAAGCAAAUUGUUCGAGUAAUGCAGGUAAAUUCGAUAUACAUAUGCGUUGAUCUAUGUGACGGUUAUAAGUUAUAACUGUAUUGUCUUAACGCAAAAAUGAUCAUAAAUGUAAGUGUCUGUAUUAUGGAAGUAAGGGACUUACAGCAAUUGCUAUGAGCUUUAACAGCAGUCACUCCAAGUACCUUAUUACGGAAGUAAGGGACUUACAUCAAUUGCUAUGAGCUCUACCAGCAGUCUCUCAAAGUGGUGCAAGGGCUAAAAUUAUAAAUAAAAAGUAAUUUAAACAAUUUAACUUAAUAAAAUAUUGUAAUUUAAACAAUGCCUAUAUAUUCAAACAUCCCAAAACAGGAAUGAACUUCUAGAAAACAUGCGCAUGAAAAUAAACGGCAUUACUCACCCAUUGAGUUGGACCAUCAAACUGGAGCGUAAGAAGGAUCAUCAUGUACCUAUGAAACCCAAAGGAAAAUUUUAGCAACCCCAAAGCUUGUAUGCAAGCGUGAAUAAGUAUGCGUGUAUGAAUCUAUUCAUAGUGAAGAAGGCUACCUUAAGAAAUAUUUGCAUCUGCAGCUUCAUAUGGCCAUACAACAAAAAGCAUCGCAUAUGAUAACAAACCCCAGCUGCACCACAAAAGGAAUAUGAUCUUCCUCUCGACUUGUAUUUGCAGUUGUUACUGUAACAUCUGCAGACAGCAUACAUAAGCACUGAUUCGAUAAUUCUAAAGGAAAAAAAGUUCUUAUUCGAUAAUGCACCAAAUCCUAUCCAAAAACCAAGGGGGUGCCAUAUCCCUAGAUUAACAGAGCAUCUUUCUUUGUUCCAAAACAAAUUGCAAUUGGCUUUGGUAAAGUAGAAAGAUUACCAGAUACCGACUCUGUUCCAUUAUUCGACUGUCCUUUUAGUUCUAUCUCUCAACAUGGGAAAUACAAUAAGACAGUAAAGACAAAAGUUAGUGAUGCUAUUACAUAGUGAAAGAAAAUAAGACAUUCACAUAUUGAUAGCUAUUUACUGUCCUUUCUCAUCAUAAUCUUGGCCCCAAUAUAUAUACUGAAUUUUGAAUGCAAUGAGAGAAAUAUACCUUUGGGGCGUCAAUGCCAGAAGAGUGAGUGAGGGAUCUAAGAUGUUUGAGAGCAGGAAUUUUUAAGUAAUUUGUGUGAAAAAGUUGAAGAGCUUCGAACAGAGUGGAGUGGGUUGGCCUGGGCUAAAAUAAAGAGGAUGAACUCUAGAAAGUAGAAAAUGUUGUUAUUCAACCAAACUCAAAAGUAAAGAAACCAUACAAUUAACAUAUAAAUAAGUUUUAUAUACCAAUGUUUACAUGUACGUUGUUUGAGAAGGUAAAUUAGCAACAUAUACAGUGAUCAAAAGAUUAACAGCAAUAAACUGCUCAUUAUUCGAAAUAUACAUGAAAGUUGUCAUUCACAUGAUCCAAAUGGUAGAGGACAAAACAGAAGGAAGCAAAUAUUAUAGCAGCAUAAGUUGAAUAAUUGCAGCAAGUAAACAAAUAGAAAGGCUAGCUAGAUUACACAAUCCAGUUCUAGGUCGGACUAACCAUGUUAGCCAUCCGCCCACCACCAGCACCGUCGGCUUCUUAUUAAAAAUGUAGAAUAGAAGACUCAAAAACUGGAAAUGAAAGCAGGUAACAUUGAGUUUUAAUAACCAAAAAGGGACAUUGUUUAAGCAGCUCCAUAGCAGCAAUUAUACUUGGACGAUGAGCUGCAAAAACAGAAAAGAAAACACAAAUUAAACUAAAAAAAAUAUAAAAUUUAGCACUAAUCCAGGAUUAAAUAUAAAAUAUAAAGUCAUUAGGAUUGGGACCUUUGCAUUGAGGAAUAUCUACUACAUUAUGAGUUCCCUCCUGACAGUGGCGGAUCCAGGAUUUUAAACUCGGGGGGUCUCAAUAAUAAAGGUCAAAAAAUUUAUACACAAAAACAACAUUGAAAAUUUAAAUAUAAUACAUUUCAUUCAAAAAUCAUAUGCAAAACAAUAUUACAAAUUAUAAAAUCAUAAUUCAAGCGUCCAUUACAAGGUUUCAUAAGUUACUACCUAAGUUAUUGAUUAUCUAAUAUGGACCACUAAAUUUAAAACACCAGUCAAAUAAAACUCUUCCCAAACUCCCACUAUCUUUCUAACCAAACACACCAUUUUUCUCUUUUACUAGUUUCCAAACAUCCACUUUCUCUCUCACUAAGAACACAGCUGCCAUACCUCCACCAACCACCUCCCUCCCCAUUCUCCCGAAGCCAUGGCAGCUCCACCCCCAAAUUUCACCAACCCAUGACAGAUCAUAUCCAUCUUACUAACCUUAUGCAGGAAAUUUCACCCAUAACAAAAAUUACUAAGGUGGUUGAAAUAAUUUGGGGAAAUUUGGGCUUAUGUACUGCCCCGCCAGACGACAGAUGGAGGAGAAGUGGGUGGCACCGAUGGAUGAGACCAUGGCAGAAGCAAGGAGAGAGGCUGGAAGGGUCCCUAUUUUCUUUCUUCUCCGUGCGCGGUCAUCUUCUCCGAGAAGAAGACAGCCACUGCAACCUACAACCUGCACAGACCUCAUGCUCGAGUACGAGGGGUCCCCGGAAAAUUUCUAGCAGCGAUUUAGGAUCGCCGACGGGUCCUGGGACCUCCCAGGUCCCUAUGUAUGCAGGAAAACCUAAGGUUCCUCCUUAGGUUUUUCGAUGUACCAAACCCGAAUCCGCCGUCCUUUUUCCAAAAUUCUAACGUUUUCAUAGAGUUUUAUUAAACGACCUUUAAUUGUGUUUAGGUGCAUCGGUGGAAGUGACCUCAUUCUUGAUGGUUCGAGCGGCUUUCGGGCAAUGGAAAACUUGUGAGUGGACCCCUUCUAAACUUAUAUAUUGUUAUAAAAUAUUAGCCUAGCAUGCAUUCCAUAUUUCAUGAUUUGAAUAUGAUUUAUAAUAUGCUUUAUGGACUUUUAUAAUUAUGGUUUACGAAAUAGUUUGAUUUAUCGAAAUUACGUUUUAUUAGGUAUUGAAUUAUUGGAUUUACAUAUAUGGAUUUCUAUGGUUUUCAAAUACGAUUUAUAUUACGGUUUUACGAACAUGAAUUGUUUUAUGGAUUUCAUGAAUACAAUUUAUCUUGGAUUUAUGAGAUGAGACUUUGAGCUAGUGAGCUCCGGGUUUGAUAUGAGUUUUGAGAUAUGUUUUUGGUACUUAAUCUAGUGGGUUAUCAUACGGCACAUCCGCACACCACGGGUAUAGAUGUGUAUGGCCAUAGGACACAGAUGAUGAGGAGGAGUAAGAUAUGAUAUAUUGUAUACCCCCAGUUCACUGUCGAAAGCAGUGUCAGAUAACUUCACUAGCCAUGGCUAGUGUCGGUAUGGAUGUUAUGCUAUUUCAUACAGCUUCACCUUCGGGUGAUAGACAGUUAUUUAGCUUCACCUUCGGGGUGAUGGACAUGUACUACCUUCGGCCAACUAUAAUAGCCUUAGUUGAGUACUUCACUGACAAGAUUUACAAAUUUGCCUUUGGGCGACGACAUUUUCAUUAUCAAGCACUGGAUUUUACAUAUCUACCUUCUAAAUGGAUUUUCAUGGCAUGCUAGGGUUUUUCAUAAAGCCUAUAUGUAGUAUUAUAUAUGUUUUCAAAAUAAGGGGUUAUUAUGUUCAUAAAUAAAAUGUUUUCCUAUUAUUAGUAUUAUUAAUAUAAACUUUGGUCCACUCACCUUUUCAGUUUUUGCGCCUCCUCAGGAGUUAGGAUCGAGGCACAUGAUCCCGGCAUCAUGGCAUGUUGAUAUAGGUAUCCUUGAAUCUUCUUAGUGUAGGUAUCAUUCCCUUAUUCAUAUCUUUUUAUAGUGAUUCUUUCCUAUUAUUUCUAAUUAGUUGUAUGCUCUGAACAAAUUCCUGCUUUGGUAUAAUCGUUAUAACUACUUAUCUUGUAAUUGUUUGCAUGUUUAAAAUGGUUUCGUCACCUUUGGGCGUGGGCUAGCACGUGCCUACCCUGGUAUGUUGGGGUAUCGGGGUUGGGGCGUGUCAAAGAUAGAGAGUGAAUUUCUAGCAGAUUCAAUGGUUGUCUACAUUUUAAAAAGAGCUUGCCGAAAAGAUUGAUUCAGAUGAAAUAACAAAGGAUUUCAAUUCCAUUAAGGAUUGAAGGGCACAACUUGAAUAGGUAUUUUUCUUUUUAUUUGUUAGGUUGUUAUGACAAGAUUGACGAUGUAUGUUUCUUUAUAUUGUAAGUUGCAACUUUAAAGGUUUUCUUCGUUAAAUCUAGUUGAAACUUGAUUCAUUUAGAGUUAAAUUUCUUACUUCAAAUUGUUGCUUUUAGGCUUAUUAUUGUGUAACUUUAUGCAAGCAACAAAAAAUUUUAACCAUUUGAUUUUGUACUAAUAAUUUUAGCUUAGCAUGCCACCAAAUAAUUCAUGUCUCCGCUAUUGAAAUCUUAGCAUGUGCAAUUUCAAAGUCUCGGUUGCCAAGUCUCCCCAGGCUGUUCAGCACCCAUUCUGAAUCUUGAUCGAGAUCUAGAGCAGUGCAAGUCAAGGAGUCUUCAUUCUCAUUUGAAACAAUGCUAAAAUUAUACCUCAGCUUGGACUCCUUGGGCAAAAUAUACCCAAAUGUAUUAAUAAUUUAAUACUACUUGUGGAUGCACCACUAGUCCAAAAAAAUCACCUCUCCUUUCUUAAUCUUCAAUUGGUGAGGGUCCCAAUCAAGCGUGAAAGGCCCCGGCGCACGGUUGGCUUUAGUUUCCCAUGAUGAAAUCGACGAAACGUGGCCAUUUGUACGGUUGACACCCAAUUUCAUGCCCGGCAAAAAGGUGUCAACUGGUAAUCAAAGCUUUACGUUCACUUCUUCUUGUACAAAAUUUCCCGAAUCCAAAAGGAUAGCCACAACAGUAGCAAUACUGUUACUUAUGUUGGUAGACCUAGUAGUUUGUGGAGCUGAGAAAAACACAAUUGGAUUAGGAUCCCUCCCGCAUAAUUUUCAAGGUUUUAUUCCUGUCCAAGGCAAGAGUGCGUACAAAAUAGGGGCUUUACGGUUGCAAAUCCAAGCAAUGUUGCCAUCGGCCUUGUUGCUCUGGAUAGAUACGUAGCUGGUGCUUUUGGAACUGUCGUCGUGUACACAGGAACUGAAACUGAACUUCUCCGAUGCAGAGACCAAAGAACUUGAGGAGUUGAGAGUGUCUCCUGCUGGUUUCAGUGUGUCCUUGCACUUGCAGCAUUGUGACAGGUCCACAGUCAGCAUGCAAAAAUGAUUAAGUUGAUUAUUGCCAUGAUUAAUUAAUGACCAUAACAUGAAGUUUAAUUUCUCCAUAUGAUGAGGAAGAAAGACAUGAAAUCCAUCACCAGAACAUGAUUAAGAAUUUAAUCAAGCAACGCGUCUUAGUUAAACCAUUACAAUCAUUGUACAAGGCAUUUAUAAAUUAAAAAAAAGGGAAUAAAGUAAUAAUUGUUAGAAUAAGAAGAAAAUGUAGUACAACAAUGGAGGAUAUGCUGCAAUGACUAGAGUGAGAGAGAGAGAAAGAAGAGAGCAGAGAAUAUGACACUGCAAUUCUUUUCACACGCAUUGUUUGAUUGCUCACUUAGUGAGAGAGGAACAUCUCUCUACACUUAACAGUUACACUUCCAAACUUUUGGCAGUAUUCAAAAUUACAUCCAAGUAAUCCUAGCCAUCCAUCUUACACCCUAUGAGAUGAAGACACAUGUACACUCACUUACUUAAGAACUAUGAGACUUAGAUAAGAAAGCAUACAACCAAUUUAGCUAAUCAUCCUAGCAAUAUAAGCUAGAAAUACAACUACCACAUCAGAUCACAAUUUACACACUAACAGCCCCCUUUAAAUUGUGAACUGAUUUAACUCCAAGAAGUUCCCUCAGAUAACUGAAUUGUUCUCUUGCCAAUGCCUUUGUAAAGAUAUCAGCAAUUUGGUCUUUCGUAGGACAAUGCAACAGCUCAAUUACUCCUUGCUGCAAUGCUUCCUUUAUGAAAUGGUAUCUCCUGUUGAUGUGCUUGGUCUUCUGAUGAAAAAUAGGAUUUUUAAUGAUAGCUAUGGCUGAAGUAUUAUCACAAUUCAUUGGUGUUGCAACUAUUUGCAUUUCACCAAAGUCCUCCAAAACAAAUCUCAGCCAUGUAGCCUGUGCAGUUGCUUCAGAUGCACUAAUGUACUCUACUUCAGCUGUUGAUAAUGCAACACAUUGUUGCUUGACUGAAGACCAAGAGAAAACUCCACUGCCAAAGGUAAAUGCAUACCCCGAUGUACUUUUCAUAUCAUCUUCUGAACCGCUCCAGUCACUGUCACAAAAUCCCAUUAAGAUUGCUCCUUUGCCUUUCUUGUAUUCCAAGCCAAAAUCAAGAGUCCCUUGAACAUAUCUUAGUACUCUCUUUGCUGUCCCAAGGUGCUUGUUGGUUGGACAGUGCAUAAACCGUGAUAGCAGACAUGCAACAUACAUUAUAUCAGGUCUAGUUGCUGUGAGAUACAGCAAACUGCCUACAAUUUGUCUAUAUUGAGCUUCAUCCGUAGUCCCACUUCCAUCCUCUUUUCUCAAUUUAUCACUUGGAACCAAUGGAGUACUCACUGACUUACAGUCUUGAAGUCCAAAUUUCUUCAGUAGAGAAGAAGCAUAUUUUCUCUGAUGAAUGAAAAUAUACUCCUCAGUUUGCAUUACUCCCAUACCAAGAAAGUGAUGUAAGAGUCCAAGAUCAGUCAUUUCAUAUUUGAGCAUCAUAUUAGAUUUAAAGUCAUCCAUCAAUUCCUGACAACUUCCAGUGUAUAUUAUGUCAUCAACAUAGAUAGACACUAUAAUCAUUUCUGAACUUUUCCUCCACUUGGUAUACAGAGUUGCUUCGCUAGUGCUUUUCUUAAACCCACAGAGUGUAAGAUAUGAGUCUAUUUCACCAUACCAGGCCCUUGGUGCCUGCUUCAGACCAUACAGUGCUUUAUGUAACCUGUAGACCUUAUCUUCUUCCCCUUGUACAAUAAAUCCAUCCGGCUGAUCAACAUACACUUCUUCUUCUAGUACACCAUUCAAGAAUGCCGAUUUUACAUCCAAUUGAAACAACUUCCAUUUGUUCUUUGCUGCCAGGGCAAUUAAUGUUCUGAUUGUAUCCAACCUUGCCACAGGUGCAAAGGUUUCAUUAUAAUCAAUUCCGGGCUUUUGUGCAUAGCCUUUUGCAACAAGCCUAGCCUUGUUCUUUUGAACUGAUCCAUCCAAAUUCAAUUUAGUUUUGUACACCCAUUUCACACCAAUCACAGGUUUAUCAGAUGGUCUUUUCACUAAUUCCCAAGUCUUAUUUUUCUCAAUCAUGCUGAUUUCAUCUUUCAUAGCUUUCUUCCAUGCUUUAUCCUGUGCAGCUUCAUAAUAGGAUUCUGGUUCAACAAUACACAUGACAUCUUUCAUAGAUUUCACUCAAACUUCUAUAUCUCAAAGGAGUAUGAUCAAUCUGAGAUGCAAAAAUUGAGUCACUAGCACUUCCAGAUUCAAUGAGUGGAGAAUCUGUAAGUUGAGUCUGAGAACCUUCAGCAACAGCUUGUUCCAUGGAAUCCGAAUCCUCAUCAGCUUCUUUCAUCUCUGAAGAUUCACUUGCAGCAAUUGGAAUGUACACUUCUUUGAUCUUCUAUCUAUCCCAAUCCUAUGUACCAUUCUCAUAAAAAAUAACAUCUCUUGAAAUGAUUACUUUCUGAUUUUCAGGAUUAAGCAAUCUGUACCCCUUUUCACAAGUGCCAUAUCCAAUAAAAAUACCAAUGACACUUGUUUCAUCCAGCUUCUGUCUCAGGUUUCCAGGAAUAAGGGAAUAACCUAAUGAGCCAAACACUCUCAAGUGUUGAAUUCCAGGUUUUCUUCCACUGAAUUUCUCAAAAGGUGUCACAUUUUCCAAUACUUUUGUAGGACAUCUAUUUAGCAAGUAGACAGAUGUAACUACAGCUUCACCCCAAAGACUAUAAGGAAGACCUUUCUCAUGAAGCAUACACUUUGCCAUCUCCACUAUAGUUCUAUUUUUUCUCUCUGCAACUCCAUUCUGUUGUGGAGAGUAUGCAACAGUAAGCUGCCACUCCAAACCCAAAGCUUCACAAAACUGUUCAAAUUCAUUUGAGGUAAAUUCUUCUCCUCUAUCUGUUCUCAAUUUCUUCACUGAAAAACCACUUUGAAGUUCCACCAUAGCUUUGAAUUUCUUGAAUACAUGAAAGACAUCUGACUUGUGUCUCAAGAGAUAUAUCCAGCACAUCCUCGAAUAGUCAUCAAUGAAUGUAACAAAGUAUCGAUUUCCACUUAUGGUUGGUGUUUGCAUAGGGCCACACACAUCUGAGUGUAUAAGUUCCAAUGGCAUUCUUGCUCUCCAGAUUGACUCCCUUGGAAAGGACACUCUAUGAUUCUUACCAAAUGCACAUCCCUGACAUACACCUUCACUGUCAUGCAUUUCAGGUAACCCAAGAACCAUAUCAUGCUCCUGCAAUUGUUGCAAACUUCUAAAAUUCAGGUGGCCAAACCGUUUAUGCCACAUUGUACUAUUCUGAUGCACAUUGGUUUUCAGUACCAAAUGAUCGUUUGACUUGAACACAAGUGGAAAGCAUCUGUUCCCCUUUUGUUUCACACUAACCACUAAAUUUGUCAGAGUUCUAUCAUAAAAAAUAUCCACCUUAUAAUCACCAAAUAACAGAAAAUACCCAUGUUCAGUCAUCUGCCCAACACUGAGAAGGUUUUCUGCAAUUCCAGGUACUAACAUAACUUCUCUUAUGUACCUUUUUCCUUUAUCCGUGUCAAUGACCAAGGUUCCUUUGCCUUUCACAUCAACAAGAACCCCUGUGCCAACUUGCACUUUUGCUUUAAUACUUCUAUCAAUUUCCACAAGUAACUCCUCUCUGGAAGUCAUGUGAUUACUGCACGCACUGUCAAUAUACCAGGCAUCACUCACAGCUUUCACUUCAGUUGAUUGCUUGACCAUGAAGAGAUUUCCAGGUUCCAGGUUCUCCCACCUUGUUUCUAAAAUUUCUUUGCUCUCCCACUUUGUCUGCAAAAUUCCCUUGCUGAGCAUUUUUGUUUUGAUUGCAGAUCCUAGCAAUAUGACCAGGUUUUCCACACUUGUGACAUUUAAUCUUCCCUUUUAGCCAACAUUCACCAUAGUGAAGUUUAUCACAGUAUUUGCAUGCCCCUCCAGUGUUGUUAGCUUCAUUUCUUACACUUGGAGUAAACCUGUUAGUCCACUGCUUCCCUUUGAACUUGAAGUUCUUCUGAUAUUUUGAUCCACCAGUAUUGGUAUGUUGAUUACCAAAUUUACUAUUCUUAGAUGAGAUAUAUAUCUAAGCUAGCAAAUGCACGUUCUGUGCUACUCUCUUCAUGUCUGAUUAAUCUUAGUUCAAACCCUUUCAAUAUGGCAACCACAUCUUGUGCAUCAAUUACAUCAAUAUCUUUAGUAUUUUCUAUAACAGAAGCAAUGCUAUCAUAUGUUUUGGGUAAACUGAUCAAUAACUUUUGCACAAUUCUCUGAUUACUAAGAUCUUCUCCAUAGCUUCGCAUCUGAUUUAUCAGAUCAAACAACCUAGCUAAAUAUGCAGCUAGAGAUUCACUUUCACUCAUACGGGUAUAUUCAAAAUCACGACGCAGACCUUGUAAUUUCACAGAUCGUACCUGUUUGUCCCUACACAUACUCUUGCUUCAGAAUAUCCCAAGCUUCUUUUGCAGUUUCCAAGGUUGCAAUGCGUGGAAAAAUUUGAUCCGAUACGGCUCCCUGAAUGAUUCCAAGAGCCCUUGCAUCCUUGACCAGAUUUUCACUCCGCAACUUCGUUUCCACCUCAGUGAGUUCUCCUUCCCCUUUCGCUGAAGUGGUAAAACCUUUUUCAACAAUAUUCCAUAACUCGUGAGAUCGGAAGAUUGUUUUCAUUCGAAUCUACCAGAAAUCGAAAUUUUCUCCGUUGAACACCGGAGCUCGAAGCUCCCCUCCACCAGAUCCAGCCAUGUUAGACUUAGAUCACACCUCUCUCUACUAUUUUCUUUGCAACGAUGUGUUGCAAACACUUGCUCACUAUCUCUCACAGAAUCGACGCCCAGAGAUUCAGACCCAACAAGGCUCUGAGGCCAUGUUAGAAUAAGAAGAAAAUGUAGUACAACAAUGGAGGAUAUGCUGCAAUGACUAGAGUGAGAGAGAGAGAAAGAAGAGAGCAGAGAAUAUGACACUGCAAUUCUUUUCACACGCACUGUUUGAUUGCUCACUUAGUGAAAGAGGAACAUCUCUCUACACUUAACAGUUACACUUCCAAACUUUUGGCAGUAUUCAAAAUUACAUCCAAGUAAUCCUAGCCAUCCAUCUUACACCCUAUGAGAUGAAGACACAUGUACACUCACUUACUUAAGAACUAAGAGACUUAGAUAAGAAAGCAUACAACCAAUUUAGCUAAUCAUCCUAGCAAUAUAAGCUAGAAAUACAACUACCACAUCAGAUCACAAUUUACACACUAACAAUAAUUACAAGUUUUACACAAGUGACCAUUUAUUACAAUGGUGGAAAGGUGUUAAAAGCUUUUGCAUGACGGUGUGAGUUCGAACCUCGUCGGUUGUUAAUCUACAAACCCCGUCGGUAGUUAAUCUAACUUCUAAUCUAAUAAAAUCUAUUUUUUGACCAAAAAAAAAUAAUUACAAGUUUUACUAAAAAUUUAGGGGUGUGAUAUCUACACACCCCUUUUUACUUCUCUCACAUCUUUUUGAUUUUCGACCGUCGGAUCGGAUGAAUUGAAGAAGAUCAACGGACAGAAAUUAAUAAGGAUGUGUGAGAAGUAAAAAAAGGUGUGUAGAUAGCACACCUCAAAAUUUACCGGAAGACUUGAUCACCCAUUUGUAUGCUGACAACGGUGACUAGAUUCACAACCUCUUUCCCACGUAAAUCACAUCAUCCAAUUUUAUUUUUCUUACAACAUAUCACGUAUCUGUCAUAUGUAAGACUUUUUUGGAAUAUGGAGCGUGAAAUUGCAGCGGAAGCAUCCUAGAUUUUUGAUCGAAUAUUGAGUUUGGUUUCAUGACAGACUUCCUGGAUCAAACACACCCUAAAAAAAUAUAUAAAAAACCAAUAAGGUCAUGGUGAUACGACAUCAUUUUAAGAGGAAAGGUAAAAACAAUCUAGUUUCUAUACUAGGAAGAUUCACUCGAACAAAUUCUUGGAAACUAUGACUCAAACAAAAUUCUAGGAAUUCAGUAUUUUUAACAAAUGAUAAACGUUUAAGAUAUAUUCUUUAUAAUAUUAGAGAAAUCGAACGGUUGAUCUAUAACUCGCAAAGUGGUUGUAGCUCAAGUAAUUUUACUCCCCAAUUUUACAUAAAACAUAAAAUAAAAACAAAUCCUAAUUUACAUGGUAAUUUUUUUUCAUAGCUAGGGACAACUUCGACUAUGGUAAUGCAAUUAAUAUACACUAGUUUUGGAUGGAGAAGUUUCAAGAUUGAGCAUGGGAUGGGGAGGGGCGAGAGACUUGGAUGGAGAGUGAGGUUUUAUGAGUUAAACAGUGAUGCAAGGAUGUAUUACUUAAAACUUUAGAGACCGUAUGUUGGGCUAUAUAUAAUUGUUUAACUCAUAAACGUUUUGAGUGUUUCUAACAUAUGCUUAUCAAAAGCCUUCUCGUUCUAUCAAACAAUACGAAAAUUUUCAAUUGAAUGCAAGACAUACUAUUUUAUAUAUCACAGUACUUCAUGGAUCAUCAUCAUCACAUAUCCUUAAUUCAAAGGUAAUAAAUGAGCAUCUAGUUUUAUUUUUAUUUUAUUUUAUAUAGGGACUACAGAAGCAAGCACCCUUUGUAAAUUAAACUCUAAAACUUCUCAAGUAUCUUGAAAGGUGCCAAAAGCCAUCAGCCAACUCCAGUUGAUGCAUAACCUCCUACAUUUACAAAAACAGCGUCGCCGUUAAUUUAUUGACUUCUUCCCAGGACACAUACCAAUUUGCGAAAGUGGUUUGACUGAUGCUAAUUAGUCGAGUAAAGUACAGUCUUUUCAAUUAAGCAGAUGCAAAACACUUAGUUGAGGCACUACAAAUAUGAUUUUUACCUUUAAUUAACGCGCUUCAAAAUCUGAACUGGACAUGUAGUUUGCUGAAGCAACAGUUUCAAGUUGCUGAUUCCCACUUAUACCAGCCUCCACCGUCCUCCUUCCAACAAAAAAUGCUGGCUUUGUUGGUGAUGCUAAUCGAAAGCUUUCAUUUGUCAACAUAGAUAUGACAUCUGACAUGGUAGGGCGAUCUGCUGCAUUUUCUUCUACGCAAAGCAGACCGACAUGGAUGCAUCUUAACAGUUGCUCUUUAAUAAACGAAUUUCCUAAUGUUGGAUCCGUUAAUUCUAGCCCUGCACCUUUUUUCCAUAACUCCCAUGCCUGAAGAACAAGGAUUGCAUUUCAUUCUAAAGAAGAAAAAAUAUGAUUAUAAAUUUUAAGAGAGAGAUUUGUUUGUCAUACAUAUCCUACUAAAUUGAGUGCGCGAUCGUCAUUGUAAAAGCUGUUGUUUUUCCUUCCACUUAUGAUUUCAAGCAUCAAUACCCCGAAACUGUAGACAUCAGACUUUACAGAAAUAAUUCCCCCCACGGACUCUGGAGGCAUGUAACCACUGCACGAAAUGAAAAAGAAAAUUAGUCAGUAUACUUAUCUGGAAAAAUGCGUGUUUAGCAGUCAAAAGGGGAGGACCACGUCAAUGUGAUGCAGAAAUACUUACAGUGUCCCCACAACCUUUCUAGUGUUUGCUUCCAAUUCAUUUUGGGUGAAAAUCCUUGCCAUACCAAAAUCUGAAAUUUUUGGGUUCAUGUUUUCAUCAAGUAGUAUGUUACUAGCUUUUACAUCUCUAUGAAUUACUUUCUUUCUUGAGUAUUUGUGCAGAUAAAGCAACCCUUGAGCAAUUCCUUCGAGAAUGCUAAAACGCUUCUUCCAAUCUAGUAGUAGACCUCUGAUUGGAUCUGUCCAAUAUGUAGAGUUAAGUAGGACUAAUAUUAAUUAAUAGUAGUACUCUAUGAACUUUGACAGUAAAAUAAAAAUCAGAUAGUAAAUUUAACAAAUGAAAUCAAGUAUCUUGGUUCCUCACCAAAUAAAAAGUGGUCCAAACUUUUGUUCUGCAGAUACUCAUAUAUCAACAUCAUUUCUUCACCAUGAAUGCAAAAUCCGAAAAGGUGAACCAGGUUUGUAUGUUGGAGUUCAUAUAUAAGUAUCAGUUCAUUCUUGAAUUCUGAUGUUCCUUGCCCUGAACAUUUCGAAAGCCUCUUCACAGCUAUUUCUUGUCCCGCCGCCAAUUUCCCCUGAAUUGAUAAUCCAUAUCAUGUUUUUGCUGUCAUCUUUAGGCAAAUGAAGCUAAUUCCUUUUUUUUUUCUUACAGCUUUUGAAUUAGAACUUGGGAGCAGCCUCUCCAUAAAUGGGGGUAAGGCUAGCCGACAUUCACCUCUCCCAGACCCUGCGUAAAGCGGGAGCCUUGUGCACUGGGUACGACAGCUUUUGAAUUAGAAGCAGAAAUUUUUUUUUUUCAAAAUGUUACCUUAAACCGGUCCAAACCCUCCUUGUCCUAGCUUGUUUUCUUCAGCAAAGUUGCUUGUGGCAGCCACGAUGGAUGAAUAGCUAAAAACGCUAAAAUCAUGAUGUCGCUUAGAUUUCAUGAAGAUAAUCAUUUCGUUCUCAAUCGUUGUCCGGUUCUCACCUAUACAGAUCAAUUAUAAGAAAUUAAAGUUUCAAUGGAGACAACAAUUGUCAAAGAUGUGAUUAAUAAUCCUGUCUUAUGUUGGAUUAUGUGGCCAAGUGGCCAUAUACUUUAGAUUAAACAAACCAAAGGUGGACAACACCUUUCCUUGUUUUGGGGAGGAAAAUAGGGAAAAGGUUUUUUGUCUUGGUCCAUGGGAAGUCACGGUUGAGGUUUUGAAUAAUAAGUUUUGGUUGUAAUGAGAAGUAAGAGUGGGAUAGAAGAGAAGAAAAUAGAGUGCAGAAAAUUGAGAGAGCCGAAGAGAAGAGAGGGAGAGAAAGAAGGUACUGCUACAGUACCAUUUUCAGAGAAGGGGUUGUUGUUCCUUUCAUUGGAUAAUUCUCACUCCAUCAAAGUGUUAUUGUUGUAAUAGCUUUGAGCUUUGUAUAGAGAAGAAAUUAAUCACUAUAUUUCUUUCUCUAUUUGUUUCUUUGGAGUGUGAGUUAUUGGGUUAUUUGGGUUGUGAGAUUGCCAACACUUUGUAAACUCCCAUUUGGUUGAUAGUGGAUUCUUGGGUGAGCUCCUACUGCUCCGAGGACGUACUCUAGUUACACUGACUGUUGAGGAACCUCGUUAAAAUCUUGGUGUCUUUAAUAUUUUGUUCUUGCAUUUUAUUUGAUAUAUUUCCUGUGGGUUAGCUUGAGUUGGUUCCACAAGGGUUUGGUGCUAUCCUAGCACAACAAUUGGUAUCAGAGCACUGGUUGCUCUUGGGUACUGUCUAGUUGCCAAAAAUGUCAGACGGGCAAGAUGAAAAUCCUUUUGGAAGCAGCUCCGGGUUUGCAAGAACGACGGUGCAAAAUGCAAAGUUCGAAGUGGAAAAGUUUGAUGGCACACAAACAACUUCGGGAUGUGGCAAUGUGAGGUCAAAGAUGUGUUGGCUCAACAAGAUCUACUUGCCGCGUUGGGAGAGAAGCCGGAAACUAUGUCGAAGCCGGAAUGGGAAAAAUUAAAUUUGUGGGCUUGCUCUUCAAUUCGGUUGUGCCUUGCAAAAACUCAGAAGUAUUUUGUGAUGCGGGAGACGGUAGCAAGUGUGUGUUGUGGCAAAAAUUGGAAGACAAGUAUAUGACAAAGAGUGCAGAGAACCGACUACACUUGAAGAAAAAAGCUCUACCGCUUCCAAUACAAAGAAGGUACAAAAAUGAUUAGACACCUUGAUGCUUUUAAUAAGUUGAUUGCCGACUUGUUAAAUUUAGAUGAGGAUAUUAAGGAUGAAGAUAAGGCCUUAAUAUUGUUGAAUUCCUUGCCGGACUCUUAUGAGCAUUUUGUUACAACUAUUAUGCAUGGUAAAGAAACUGUGAAAUUUGAAGAUGUGUCAAAUGCCUUGAUGAAUUAUGAAAUGAGGCAUAGAGAUAAAAAUCAUGAUAGUACCUCUGAAGCUUUAUUUGUUAGAGGUAGAUCAUCGGAGAGGAGGUCAUCUUCUAGCAGGAAAAAAUCACAGUCUCGACCUAGAGGAAACUCUAAAGGUAGAAAACCUUUGGAAAGGGAUGAAUGUGCCUUUUGUCGUAAUAAGGGCCAUUGGAAGAAAGAUUGUCCCAAAUUGAAGACCAAAGGAAAAGAAAGUUCUGAAGCUAAUGUUGCUGAGGUUGAAACAGAUUUUUCUGAUUUUGCUUUAACCACUUCCUCAUCAUUUGAUUGUGCUACUAAGUGGGUGUUGGAUACGGGUUGUACUCAUCAUAUGACUCCUCACAAGGAUUGGUUUUCAAGCUUGAAAGAGUUUUGAUGGUGGCGUUGUGUUCAUGGGAGAUGACAAUCCUUGCACAACAAAAGGGAUUGGUACAGUUCGUUUGAAGUUGCAUGAUGGCAUGGUUAAAGAGUUGACAGGUGUUCGGUAUGUACCGAAUUUGAAGAAAAAUCUUAUUUCUUUGGGUACUUUGGAAUCUAAGGGUUUCAGGUUUCAUUCAGAUGGACAGACAUUGAAAGUUACUUAUGGUGCACUUGUUGUGAUGAAAGCUCCUAGAUGUGGCCAUUUGUAUUUAUUGCAGGGAAGCACUGUGACAGGUGAAGCAUCUGUAGUCUCUGAAAAUAUGGGCACAUCUGAUUCAGAUACUACUAGAUUGUGGCAUAUGAGAUUAGGCCAUGCCGGUGAGAAAGCUCUACAAGGGCUUGUGAAAAAAUGUCUUCUAAAAGGUGCCACGACUUGUAAGCUUGAUUUCUGCGAGCAUUGUGUCUUGGGAAAGCAAACUAGAGUGAAGUUUGGUACUGCUGUACAUCAGACGAAGGGCAUUCUUGAUUAUGUGCAUUCGGAUGUUUGGGGUCCUACAAAGACUCCCCUCUUUGAGUGGUAGACAUUGGUUCGUGACCUUUGUUGAUGAUUAUUCAAGAAGGUCUUGGGUCUACACUAUGAAGCAUAAGAGUGAGGUGUUAAGCAUUUUCUUGGGUUGGAAGAAAAUGGUUGAGAACCAGACUGGGAGAAAGAUUAAGAUUUUGAGAUCGGAUAAUGGUGGUGAAUACACAUCCGAUCCUUUCUUUAAAGUUUGCAAAGAGGAAGGAAUUGUGAGACAUUUCAGUGUUCGGGGAACUCCACAACAAAAAUGGAGUUGCAGAAAGAUUGAAUCGAACCUUGCUUGAGAAAGGUUAGAUGUAUGUUGUCUCAGUCGGGUUUAAGCAAGUCAUUUUGGGCAGAAGCAGUUAAUUAUGCAUGUCACAUCAUCAACCGGUUACCCUCAGCUGCUAUUCAGGGUAAGACACCAAUGGAGGUAUGGACUGGAAAACCUUCUUCUGAUUAUGAUCAUAUUCGUAUUUUUGGUUCACCUGCUUAUUUUCAUGUAACUGAAAAUAAACUUGAUCCUAGAGCCAAAAAGGCUAUCUUUCUUGGUUUUAGUAGUGGUGUCAAAGGUUACAGGUUGUGGUGUCCAGAGAUGAAGAAACUGGUAAUUAGUAGAGAUGUGACAUUUGACGAAGAAAGUAUGUACAAAGUCUCUGAGAAGAAUGUGAAAGAUGUCCAACAGGUGGAGCUUGAGAAAGUUGCUUCUGGUACUUCAAAUCCUAUUUCCGCUGAUGUCGAAGCCACUACAAGUGAAGAAGUUGGAGACCAUGAGGAUGUUGAAGAAGUUGAACUUGAAGAUUCUAUUCAAGUUGAAGAGCAAGUUUCACCUCAAGAGUCUAUUGCCAAGAACAGAGGAAAGAGACAAAUUACUAAGCCAGCUCGGUAUAGUGAUUAUGUUGCUUUUUGCUCUUCCUAUUAUCACUGAAGAGAUUCCAUCCAAUUUUGAGGAAGCUAUUGAGAGUGAGGAGAAGAAUAGGUGGUGCAAUGCCAUGGGUGAUGAGAUGAAUUCUCUCUUGAAGAACAAGACUUGGGAGUUAGCUAAAUUGCCUAAGGGCAAGAAAGCUAUUGGUUGCAAAUGGGUGUAUGCCAAGAAGGAAGAUGCUGAUGAGAAAAGCAAUGUGAGAUUUAAAGCAAGAUUAGUUGCUAAAGGGUAUGCACAAAAGGAGGGCAUUGACUACAAUGAAAUCUUUUCUCCGGUUGUGAAGCACUCCUCAAUUCGCAUUAUGUUAGCUCUUGUUGCACAGUAUGAUCUUGAGCUUGUGCAACUUGAUGUAAAAACGGCUUUCCUACAUGGUGAUUUGAAUGAAGAGAUUUAUAUGUGUCAACCAGAUGGGUAUAUAGUGAAAGGGAAGGAGAAUUUGUUUUGCAAAUUGAAGAAAUCACUUUAUGGUUUGAAGCAAUCUCCAAGGCAAUGGUAUUUGAGGUUUGAUAAAUUUAUGAGAGGCCAAAAUUAUUCUAGAAGUCAAUAUGAUCAUUGUGUGUACUUCAAGAAGUUGCAAGAUGGGUCUUUCAUUUAUUUAUUGAUAUAUGUUGAUGAUAUGUUGAUUGCCUCAAAGAAUGUCGAAGAGAUUGAGAAAUUGAAGAAGCAAAUGAAGAAUGAGUUUGAGAUGAAGGAUCUUGGUGAAGCGAAGAAGAUCCUUGGCAUGGAGAUCACUAGAGAUAGAGCAAAGGGUUUCGUCAGUUUGAAUCAAAAACAAUACCUUGAGAAGUUGAUUCGGAAGUUUGGAGUUCAUGAUUCAACCAAACCGGUUAGUACCCCUUUGGCUCCUCAUUUUAAAUUGAGUUCUCUACAAUGUCCUAAAAUCGAUAAAGAGAAACUGCAAAUGAAAAAUAUACCAUAUGCAAAUUUGGUUGGUAGUUUGAUGUAUGCAAUGGUAUGCUCUAGACCGGAUAUUGCUCAUGCAGUUGGCAUGGUGAGUCGAUAUAUGCAUAAUCCAAGUAAAGAGCAUUGGCAAGCAGCUAAGUGGAUAUUGAGGUAUCUCCAUGGUACUCGAGAUGUUGGUUUAUGCUUUGAGAGGGAUGACUCUGGUAUUGGUCAUUUUGCAGUUGGUUAUGUUGAUUCAGAUUAUGCAGGUGAUCUGGAUGGAAGGAAGUCUACUACAGGCUAUGUGUUUACUAUGGCUAAAGGGCCAGUUUGUUGGAGGUCCAUUUUGCAGUCGUCUGUUGCCUUGUCUACUACAGAGGCUGAAUAUAUGGCAGUUGCUGAAGCUAUAAAGGAGGCCAUUUGGAUACAUGGGCUUAUUAGAGAUUUGGGGGUUGAUCAGAAGCAGGUGGAGGUACAUUGUGAUAGUCAGAGUGCCAUUUAUUUGGCUAAGUAUCAGGUUCAUCAUGCGAGGACCAAGCACAUAGAUGUGCGUUAUCACUUUGUUCGUGAAAUUGUUGGUGAAGGGGAAAUCAUUCUCCAGAAGAUUCCAACUAAAGACAACCCCGCUGAUAUGUUGACUAAGGUUGUUGGUGUAGCCAAGUUUGUUCACUGUUUGAACUUGGCUCACAUUUUGCCUAUAUAAAGAAGGCGUUGAGUAGUAGGAGUUUUGGAGCAUUUGGCUCAGCAUGAGUUGUUCUCUUGCUAGUGUUUGGGAGUGAUGUUGUGUGCUAAUUGUGUUGGUUGGCUUAUCAUGGCGUUUUCGGAACUUGGCCAAGGUGGAGAUUGUUGGAUUAUGUGGCCAAGUGGCCAUAUACUUUAGAUUAAACAAACCAAAGGUGGACAACACCUUUCCUUGUUUUGGGGAGGAAAAUAGGGAAAAGGUUUUUUGUCUUGGUCCAUGGGAAGUCACGGUUGAGGUUUUGAAUAAUAAGUUUUGGUUGUAAUGAGAAGUAAGAGUGGGAUAGAAGAGAAGAAAAUAGAGUGCAGAAAAUUGAGAGAGCCGAAGAGAAGAGAGGGAGAGAAAGAAGGUACUGCUACAGUACCAUUUUCAGAGAAGGGGUUGUUGUUCCUUUCAUUGGAUAAUUCUCACUCCAUCAAAGUGUUAUUGUUGUAAUAGCUUUGAGCUUUGUAUAGAGAAGAAAUUAAUCACUAUAUUUCUUUCUCUAUUUGUUUCUUUGGAGUGUGAGUUAUUGGGUUAUUUGGGUUGUGAGAUUGCCAACACUUUGUAACUCCCAUUUGGUUGAUAGUGGAUUCUUGGGUGAGCUCCUACUGCUCCGAGGACGUACUCCAGUUACACUGACUGUUGAGGAACCUCGUUAAAAUCUUGGUGUCUUUAAUAUUUUGUUCUUGCAUUUUAUUUGAUAUAUUUCCUGUGGGUUAGCUUGAGUUGGUUCCACAAGGGUUUGGUGCUAUCCUAGCACAACAUCUUACUGGUGCACAUGAUUUAAAGAAAUAUACCAGCUGAUGCAAGGGCUGAUCUUCUUCGUUGGAGUAGAUAGUACGCGGUGCAAAGCACUAGAGCAGCAGCUAUAGAAAUGCCAAUCCAAACCCAUUUAUCUGCUGCAUCAUAAACAAUUAGCUAGCAACAUAUGCAAUCAGCGUAACACACACGCACAUGUACGCAUUAAUUGUCUUCAAUUUUUGGAUGAACUAGGUCUUGCAGGUUUCUUCCAGAAAACGAAGAAAAAUCCGAGACAGAGAGCAGAACUUAAGACAACAAUAACAAAGAUAGAGGUACCUAAUAAUACUGAUUCCACGCGUGUCACAGAUUUCCGGCUUAAAUCGGGUUUGCAGCCUCGGUAUAUAUCCUUCGGAUCAAGAAAAGAAAACCCUUUUGGGCAUUCGCAGGUUGGCCUUUUAUCUGGUUUGAGCUUACAGGUACUGUUGUAACCGCAAACACCAACGCCCAGUCGUAGGCAAAUAUCAUCCGGCAUAUACACCAGAGGACUAAUCCAGCUUGCAUUUCCAGUGAAGUAUUUCGGGUGAGAAUAUAAAGCGAAAAUCCCAUCAAAAUCAAGAGUUGCCCUUAUGUAGUUGUCCCUCACCGACACUCCCUCUGUCCCCUUAAGAGGGACUCUUCCAUCAUUUUCUCUCAGAACAGACAUGUCCCCUGAGCUGCUGAACACCAAUUCUUUGCCUUGACUACCUGGCACGUUCCCUGCGGUGGUCUUCGUGGAGAAGUAAGCUUUCUUGGCCUUAUCUGUUGUCAAGUUGACGGAAAUGAGCACGAGGUUUCCAUCAUCUUGCAAGCGCAGCUGGAACCGCCCUUUUGUGUAGUUAGUCUCCGAUUGUCUACACGAAAGCUUCCCAUUUCUCUCAAUUGUCUGUCCAGGCAAAACGGUGUCUGUAGGAUUGCUGAAGGUCUCCCACAAGCUCCCCGAGUUUUGGUGUUGAAGGACAAAGUUUCCGGUGUCAUUCAUGACCCCGUUCGCAACAGUCCCCAAGGUUAUUUCGGAUUUCCAUAUCUCUCCACCCUGAGGAUUGUUAAGAACUAGUCCACUGUUGGCAGUCAAGUUCAGAACUGAUCCCCUAGGUGCAACCAUGGGGUUGUUACCGUCGUAUGCAUACCAAACCACGGUUUUGUCUGGGAUAUUCGCAUACCAUAUCGAAAGCAAGAAAAGAUCAUUGUUUCCGAGGGGCGAAAAUCCAAACUCGAAAUCACCGGAUGGAGAAAGCCAUGAUGAGGAGUCGCCUAUAGUUGCAGUUAGAGAACUCCCAACUGCUACUCUUCCAUUAUUUUGGGAAAUCACAGAAAUUGGUAGCAAAAACAAAGAGAACAAAAGCAUCUCUACAGAAAGAGCCACUGCCAUUGCAAAAGCACCAAUUUUUCAACUUGGCUUAACUGAUUAGCUAUAUUUCUUAGUAAAGCAUUGGUCCUUGUUUAUAUCUUCAAGUAAAUGUGUGUGCAUGUGCCUGUCAUUUUCUAAGUUUUUGCCUGGAAUCAUUUUUUGAAGUCAAUGUUACCCAUCAGCCACGAUAUGACCUCAGACCUCGCUACAUCACACACAAUAAUAUCUCCGGGCCUACAGAAUAAUUUCUCCAAACCUACACAUAUCACAAGAAUUUCACUUUGAAAAAAAUAAUAUAAUGAACAGUUUUAUAUAUAAGACACCGAUACCGAUACUUUUUGUGAUAGAACUUAUUGUCUCUCUCAAUUCCUUGUAAUGUUGCAAGUUGGAGCAAUAUUGAUGUAAUUAGUAAUGGCCCGCUAACUUGCCUCUCUCAAAUCUCUUUUCAUCCUACUCUCGUCCCUCGUCCGUUUUAUGAUUCUACUUAAUUAAGCACUUAUAAGUGUUCCAAAUCAAACUUGUAACUUAAAUAAUUAAAAAUAUUUAUCACUACACUGGGGAUUCUAGGUUCCAAAAUAUAAUAUAUAAUAUAUAUGAAUGUUCCAAACCAAAAGGACAAGUAAAUACGAGCAUGACUCACGCUGCAUGUGUCGGCCAUUCAAGUCCACAAGUCAAAAUUCAACAAUGGGGCCCACAAAGAAAAUUUGAAAAAGUACAUGCAGAUUGAGGACGUAUACAAAGAAUCUGAAAACAAACCUCCAGGACCAAACAAAGACGACUAAGUCUCCAUUUCUGUAUUCACACAAACCAAAGUACUAACUGAAGUUUUUAAUGUAUGAUUACGUCAUUGGGGUAAAACACCCGAGGCCGAGUUGAGAUAAUCACAGGGUUGGGGAAUCGAGAUCCUCUCCGAAUGUCACAGUCUGGCACAAACGAACGUAGAGAUCCGAACCACUUAUUUUAAAUUCUACGGUCUUCAUUAGCCUAUCCUAUUGGCCCACAUCACACAAGGGGCCCAAAUCUUUCUCUCCCCUCUCUUGAACGGUUUGGAUAUCUCGGUCUGUCGAUUUUGGAUUGGGAGAUUCAAAGAGAAUUUGAUUUCGGGUUUGAGGUGUGGUUCGCCGACCAUUUGAAGCUCGUUGAGGCGUGGCCCAUCUCAUCCACGUCGGGAUAGCCAUUUCGUACCAAGUUGGAUCCCAGGUCAGGCCAGUCAUUUCAUUAGCCUAAGAUAGACCUGACAGACGAGGCGCUUGGAUAUUGCCUACCGCGACCAAAUGGACCCAUGGGCUCAUUAGAUGAUGAGUCUGGACCCUGGGGUGUGUAAAGCCCACCUCAGCUCGAUCCAUAUUCGGUCGAUACUUAAGGGAAGGUGGAUAUGGGGUAAAGGUAGAGUAAGCUCCAAGCCAUGUGGAGGUCAGUCGAGAUUGAACACACAUUCAUAGAAUCAUAGUAUGAAAUUCAAGUCCAAAUUUUAACACUACGAAACCGAAAAGCAUGCAACUCCGAAGAGCAUUGUUUCAGUCCAACAACCUAAACUUCCUUAAAAAACUAAGACAAAAACGACGACACUAGUAAACGGAAAAACAUGCAACUCAGAAAACCAUUGCUCUAGUCUAAAUGAGGUUCCUCAAUGCCUCAAGCUUUUCUAAACACCAUAGCCUGAACCUUUUCCUUUGCGCCUUCUUUGCUUCACCAGAAACGUUCUUAAUGAGCUUCCUUCAAAUUUGGGACGAGCAGGCAUUAGGCUGUGCACAAUGCUGUAAAUGCCCCUAGCCCUUGCCACACCCUAGGUGCGUACGCUUGCAUGUCCGACCUGAGUUAUCUCAUUACGCGCGCAGUUUGAUCUUCCCGUAUUGACAUCCCUGCUGUCUAUUCUCAUGCGAAUCCUUUUGCUGGUGACUUCAUCCGGGUCCAUUUUCUUGCUCCUCAGUGCAUGUUCAUCUGCUUUUCCCUAUUAAUAAAUAUAGGAAUCCCAUAACAAACAGCAUUUGACAAAACAGAACGUAAUAAUAACAACAAAACUUGACUUCAUCCUCAUUGCAUGUUCAUCUGCUUUUCCACUUCAAAGCAGCUGACGGCACGAUUCGUACUUGGACUCCAAGAUGUCUAGAUUAUGGAGAAACUAUCCCUUUGUCCAAAACACACAAAGAAGUGGAUUUUCCGUUUAUACCAAGUGUGUUGAAGCAUGUCCCACAUGGCCACAUCGGAAACUUGUUGAAGUUUAAAUCCUCUUAUAUAGAAAGUUCGACUACUAAUUGCCUUGAGGCCUUAAUUUUGUAUAAAACCAUACCUAUUGAAUUGCACACGUGCUUAAGUUAAGGUUAGUAUUAAUGGUAAUUAGUAGUGGGCCGCUGGUCGUCUUCAAAAAACUGGUACAAAGGGAAGAUUUAUAGAAGCAGUGUUGAGAUAAAGGCAAUUCAUCUGUUCUUUUUAGAAGGAUAUAAAUGAAGCAAGGUUUAUCUGCUCACCCGUAAUGCGGCUCAGCCCUUCAUCAAAAAGUGAAAUAUCAAAAUUACUUUUACAGCAAGAGCAAUACCAGAAGAUGUAAUCUAAAUUGUUUAUAUUUGGUUCCCUUGAAAUCCUUUUGACUGUUUCAACAUAGUAUAUGUUGGUAUUUAAAAGUUUAGAAACUUAAUACCAAUUAUGUGGGUGAUAGGUUUUCUAACUCUAUCACACCUCUAUCUCUUUUACUCUCUUUGAAAAUGGAUCGAUAGAAAGAAAAAACAGCAAGCUUCUUAAAGAAACAAGUACUUGAUAUAUUAAAAGAGUUUCAACUCUAUUGCUGAAAAUAUGGAAUGGAAUUACAAAGAGCCUUACGGAAAGGCAUUCUUAUACUUGCAAAAAACAAGAGAACCACACAAGUGGUUUUCAUAAACAAAUGCAAACAAAGACUUUCUAGACUUAGCUAGUGGAAAACUAUCCAUGCAAAAUAAAAUAAAGGGGUUCAAAGUCUUUACUUGCAGCAGUUUUAGACUAUUGAACACACACACACACACACUACUUUAUUCUAGUGGUUUACAACCACAUUUCGGCUAGCACAGAAGAGAAGCAUUAAUUUGGGUAAGUGCAGGAAGUAUGAGUCAAAAGAAACAGCUAGCAGCCCACUAACAUUGAAAUAAUGUUUUUAUUUGAACUUCCAACACUCCCCCUCAAAUCAAAACACCUUCAUUCCUAGCAUGUCAUGCAGCAGCCGGAAUGAUUCAAUUGGCAGUGGCUUUGUGAAGAUGUCAGCCACUUGUUCCUUGGUGUGACAAUAGAUAAGCUCAAUUAUCUUUUGCUUCACAUGAUCCCUCAGAAAAUGGAACCUGGUAUCGAUGUGCUUGCUCCUUCCAUGUUGAACAGGAUUCUUUGCAAGCUUGAUUGCAGACAUGUUAUCCACAUGAAUCACAGUAGAUUCCACUUGUGGAUGACAUAAAGAUUUCAACAGAUUUCUUAACCAAAUUGCCUCACACACAGUUAAGGCUGCAGCAACGUACUCGGCUUCACACGAUGACAGAGCAAUAAUUGAUUGCUUCUUUGAAGUCCAUGAGAAAGCUGUUGAUCCUAGAAAAAACACAUAGCCAGUUGUACUUUCCCUUUCAUCUUGGUCACCUCCCCAAUCACUAUCUGAAUAACCAAAUAAUUUUGCAUCUUCACCAAAAUUAUAAAACAGACCAUAGUUUAGAGUGCCUCUUAUGUACCUUAAAAUUCUCUUGGCAGCCAACCAAUGAGACUCAUUUGGUGUUUCCAUGUACCGACUCACGAGUCCAACACCAUAAACUAUAUCUGGUCUUGUGAUUGUAAGGUACCUCAAGCUUCCAACGAGGCUUUUGUACACGGUUGAGUUUACAAGCUCACCUUCUCCUUCCUUGGACAGUUUCAAUCCAGUUGCAACUGGAGUGUUGACAAUAUUGCACUUGUCCAUAUUGAAUUUCUCCAAUAUAUCUCUCAUGUACUUUUGUUGAGAGAUGUAGAUACCGUUACUUUCUUGCUUCACCUCUAUGCCAAGAAAGUAUGACAUUAAUCCAUUGUCAGUCAUCUCGAAUUCACUGAACAUGGAUUGCUUGAACUCACAGAACAUUGCUUCAUUGUUUCCUGUAAACAACAAGUCAUCUACAUAGAGACAAAUAAUUAAGAACUCCCAUUUUUCACCGUUCUUCAUGUAAACUGAAUGCUCGUAUGGACAUUUCUGAAAUCCAUUUUGGUGAAGGUAGUUAUCAAUCCUUGAGUUCCAAGCUCGUGGUGCUUGCUUGAGGCCAUACAAAGCCUUUUUCAAAUGAUACACCUUAUCUUCUUCUCCUUGUACUCGGAAGCCUUCCGGUUGUUUCACGUACACUUCUUCCUCAAGAACUCCAUUAAGGAAGGCUGACUUGACAUCUAGUUGAUAAAUUUUCCAUUUAUGAUGAGUGGCAAGAGAGAUUAGCAAUCUUACCGUGUCAAGUCUUGCAAUUGGAGCAUAGACUUCAUCAUAGUCCACUCCAUACUUCUGUUUGUAGCCCUUUGCUACAAGCCUUGACUUGUAUCAAUCCACACUCCCAUCUGCAGUGCGUUUGAUCUUGUACACCCACUUGACACCAAUAGCCUUCUGAUUUGGUGGGAGCUUUGUCAACUCCCAAGUGUCAUUCUUCUCGAUGGCAUGGAUUUCUUCCUCCAUGGUUAUUCUCCAACGAUCUUCUUCCACAGCUUCAUUGAAUGAGAGAGGCUCGUGGUCUACAUACAAGCAGAAAAAAUUGGUUUCUUCUUCUUCUUCUUGUCCAUAUAUCUCGGUGAGACUUCUUAGCCUCACUGGAGUUGAUGAGCUGCUUUCCUCACUGGAUGUAGGACCACUCCUUGCAAUUCUGUGCACUGGAGUUAUUGUGGUUAUUUGAGCAGGUUGUUGCUAGAUAGGUGGUACAACUUCUGGUUCUUCAAAAUCAGUGGAAACAAUCUUCUCUUUACUGACUUCUUUGUUGUUCCACUUCCAUGCAUCUUCCUCACUGAAGAUGACAUCUCCACUAACCACUAAUUUGCCAGUUAGUGGGUUGUAGAGCUUAUAUGCCUUUGACUCUUCACUAUAGCCCACAAACACACACUUUUCACCUCGAUUAUCAAGCUUCCUCCUCUUGGCUUCUGGAACCUGAGCAUAUGCAACACACCCAAAAACUCUUAGGUGUGCAACAUUCGGCUUGUAUCCACUCCAAGCCUCUUGUGGUGUCAUCCUCUUGACACUCUUUGUUGGACAUCGAUUCAACAAAUAAAUUGAACAAGCUACAGCUUUUGCCCACAAUUCUUUUGGCAAAUUCUUCUCCUUAAGCAUGGACCUUGCCAUGUCAAGGAUGGUUCGAUUCUUUCUUUCGGCUAUUCCAUUUUGCUGUGGGGUAUAGGCAGUAGUCAGUUGAUGCCUAAUUUCUUGCUCCUUGCAAUAUGCUUGGAAAGCAUUGGAGGUGUACUCUCCACCUCUAUUUGAUCUCACAGCCACAAGCUUGUGGUUGCUUUCAGCCUCUGUGAGUGCCUUGAACUCCUUGAAAACUUUUAGGGCAGCUGACUUCUCCUUGAGAAAAUAGACCCAAGUCUUCUUACUGAAAUCAUCAAUGAAGGUAAUAAAAUACCUAUUACCUCCAUAGGACAUAGGAUCUAACGGACCACAUAUAUCCGUAUGUACCAACUGCAGUGGUGCUUUUGCUCUCCAUGCAUCACCAACAGGGAAUGUGAGCCGUGUUUGCUUGCCAAGCACACAACCUUCACAUACUUGGCGUGUGGCUUCAAUCUGGGGUAGACCACGAACCAUUCCUCCACUUGACAGCAACUUUAGGCCAUUGAAAUGAAGAUGGCCAAACCGAAGAUGCCAUUUCCAUGACUUAUCUUCCAUUACACCGAUGUUGCAACUCCCAAUCCUUGUGUUCAACUUCAAUGGGAACAUUCGGUUCUUUGACAUUUGAACACGUGCAAUAAGUUUUCUCCUUGCAUUCCUAAGAGUGAGAAACAUAUCCUCCAUAUGUAUAAUAUACCCUUUCUGGAGCAGUUGACCAACGCUCAGAAUGUUGCUCUUCAUACCUGGUAUGUAGUAGGUAUCGAAGAUGUAUUCUUCUCUACCAUCCUUCUGGAUGAUUUUGAUCUUUCCUUUGCCUUCAACUGGCAACUUUGAGGAGUCACCAAGACUCACAGAUCCAUAAGGCCCAUCUUUGAGUUCGGCAAAAAACUCUUUCUUUCCACACAUAUGGUUGCUUGCACCAGAGUCCAAAUACCAAACAUCUUGUUGGUUACUGGAAUCAUGGUGUGCUAGUAAGACUGUAAAUUCCUCACCAGCAUUUCCACUUGAUUCUGCCAUGUUGACAUGCUCACCAUUUUUAUAUGAACAUUCACCUUUCCCAGACCCUGCGUAAAGCGGGAGCCUUGUGCACUGGGUACGACCUUUUUUUUUUUUUUUAUUCAUUGGCAUAAUGUCCAUAUUGCUUGCAACUGUGACACUGGAUAUGUGCCUUUCCUCGAGUAGAUCUGCAUUCUUGAGACUGAGCUCGAUUUUGUGCAUAGCCUCUACCUCUUCCUCGGGCUCGUCCUCGGCUACAGUUGGAUGAAUUCCCACGACGUGAGUUCCACUGCCCACGACCUCCAUUUGGUUUGUCAAUAUUCAACUUUGACUCCAAAGCUUGCUCUAGCGUUGUGGGGCUUGCAUUCUUCUGAAUGCGUUGCUCGUGAACUAUGAGGGAUCCUAGUAGCUCCUCUGCGCUCAUCGCCUCCAAAUCCUUGGAUUCCUCAAUGGCAGUCACCACAUGCUCAAACUUAGAUGUGAGUCAUGUGAGUGACUGGAGUAUCUUCUCCACAACUCGUACUUCAUCGAGUCUCUCGCUAUUUAUCCUCAUCUGAUUUACUAUCACAAUGAGCCUUGAGUGAUAGUCGGAGAUGCUCUCCCCUUCAUUCAUGUGAGUAGUUUCAAAAUCUGCUCGAAGUGACUGUAACCUCACUUUCUUGACUCGAUCUACUCCUUUGUAGAUUGUACUGAGUGUGUCCCAUACUUGCUUGCUCGUUGUUGCUUCUGCAACCUUCUCAAACGUUGAAUCUUCUAGACCCUGGUAUAGAAGAUACAACGCCUUCUGGUCCUUCUUUCGUAAGUCCUUGAGAGUGUUCCUUUGUUCUGCAGUAUAUGCGGCUUCUUGAUUGGCAGUGGGUACAACAUACCCAUUACUGACAACUUCCCAUAGCUCCUGUGAUCCAAACAAUGCUUUGAAUUGGAUGCACCAUCUUUCAUAAUUUUCUUUCUUCAAUGUGGGAACCUGGAGCUGCACUAAGUUGGACGCCAUAACUGCUGCACUUGCCAGAAUGGUAUUCUGGCUCUGAUACCAAUUGUUGGUAUUCAAAAGUUUACAAACUUAAUACCAAUUAUGUGGGUGAUAGGUUUUCUAACUCUAUCACACCUCUCUCUUUCUUUUACUCUCUUUGAAAAUGGAUUGAUAGAAAGAAAAAACAACAAGCUUCUUAAAGAAACAAGUACUUGAUAUAUUAAAAGAGUUUCAACUCUAUUGCUGAAAAUAUGGAAUGGAAUUACAAAGAGCCUUACGGAAAUGCAUUCUUAUACUUGCAAAAAACAAGAGAACCACACAAGUGGUUUUCAUAAACAAAUGCAAACAAAGACUUUCUAGACUUAGCUAGUGGAAAACUAUCCAUGUAAAAUAAAAUAAAGGGGUUCAAAGUCUUUACUUGCAGCAGUUUUAGACUAUUGAACACACACACACACUACUUUAUUCUAGUGGUUUACAACCACAUUUCGGCUAGCACAGAAGAGAAGCAUUAAUUUGGGUAAGUGCAGGAUGAGUCAAAAGAAACAGCUAGCAGCCCACUAACAUUGAAAUAAUGUUUUUAUUUGAACUUCCAACACUAUAUGCAGAGAGAACCAGAACCAAGUCCAGACUCACUCGUAAUAGGUCUCUCCUCAUCCACAACAAUAUCCCAGCUUUCCCUUGUCGUGGUUUUCCCAUAUUUGUGCACCUUACUGCAAAGAGAGAGCAAGUUAACUUGUCAAAGAAAAACCAGAACAAUAGAUGCCAAUGCAGUUCAGAAAGUUUAUUUCCCUUCAUACCCAUUUCCAAAGUGCUCUUCUCCCCAUGUCCUUGACCAACCUAGACAUGAGAGAACAAAAACAAAGUCACAUCAGAUUAAAUUAUUGAAAGAAAAAGGUUCACUUACAAAUCGACAUUAGAAUCAAGCAACCACGCUAUGAAAUACAAAUUUAAAAUGUAACAAUUUACUGUGUCUGAAAGGAAUCUGUGAAAUAAAAUAGUUAAACCCUAAACAGCACCACUGCAAAUAGCAUAAGAAAAUUAAAAUUAACCCUAAAGAAAUUGGGAGAGAAGAAUAUGAAAAGGGAAUACCUUUCGGCCCUUUGAGUUAUUGGAAAAAACCCAACAGAGCAAAAGAUAAACAAAAAUACAGGAGGAAAGAAAAUAAAUUUUCAACUUGUAAGAUUCAUACACGAACAGAUUGGCGGUCAAAAGCAUUUCGAAACUCAGAGCCAUCAAGCUUUUUGAUCUGCAUGGAAAUUAUUUAUGAAGUUUGAGAUUCUUAUAGAUGCUUUAGACACAUCGACAUAUUGAAAAAGCAAUAUUCAACAACCUAGUACCCAUGCUCCCUAGAAGGGUACAGAAAAUAUGAAUGUCUGGACUCUGGAGUGAGAAAGUAAAAGGACUUGCCGCAUACUUCAUAUCUUCCAAGUUUGUGUAGUCUACAAUCCCUGUUGUGCCUACAAAAAAGGCAUAGGACAAAAGCUAAAUCAAUCGAAAUUCUGAUGUCUCAUGAUCUAGGUCUUAGGAUUAAACUACUGAAAUAACACUACAUGAAAUAGCUGUGUAUAUCCCAAAAAAAGUAUGAAAUCUGGUUGAUAAUUGAAGACUUCGAAGGGAUUUACCUUUGGAUUCUUUGGCUUUCAGAUGGAGUUUGCUUAUGUGUGGGGGAGAGAGGUGGAGCGGCUAGGGCUUGAGUAUGGAAGAGAUGAAAAAUGCAGAGAGCACCUGUUUUCGCUGAAGCAACUCACACACUCUGGACAAAUCUGCAAAUGUCUAAAAGGGGGAAAAUAUAAAAAGAAACCUUAACAACUGAAUUCAAAGAAACAUUAUUACAUUGUAAAUAACAUUUCACAAAAAAAAAAAAAAAAAAAAAAAACUGAACUAAACUAAUUACACUCGGAUUGCAAUGCUAUCAUUUAAUAAUAGGAAUUCCCAUAACUUAGCAGAAGACCUGCAUCUGCAAAGGAUUCUUUAAAACCUAUUUUUUUUGAACAACCCCGCACCUACAACACAUCCAGGCAAGGUAAACCAAUAGCACCCUCAUUCUAAGCUCUUCUGUGCAUAUAUACCCCUUAUAAGUAAUCUUAAUCAAUCAGUUAUCAUGAAUAUAGUCAGUUAUCACGAAUAUACAACUUAUAUUAAUUUUCUACAAUAUCCAACACACAAAUAUAACAGAAGAGGAAACUUUUACUUAAGCAGCACAAAAUGAUAUCCUUUGCAUUUCAUUCCAAAAUCCAUCACUCUUAUGUCUUUGCCUGCACAGUUUUUGCUCCAACAUAGCCCGCCAUGAUGAUAGCACUAUCAAUAAUUAAGACAUAAAGAAAGGCUAUCCUAGCUAGGUAUUAUCAUUGGAGUAAACCAACAACACCAUAAGUAAAGUAGCAGACCAAAUUUUUUCUAGAAUUGAUGUCUUAACAUGUUUAAGUAGCGAAAAGAUUACAACACAUUGGAUGUGUUAACACAUCCAUAAGCUAAUGACUCCCUCUCCGGAUCACUACAUCAUUCUUAAUGUAUUCAACAAUGCAGCAGCAAUUAAAAGUCCUUGGAAAAUGCCAAGCUACUACAAUGACAUAACGAAAAACUAUAUCUCACCUUACCCCCUUGUUGGCAUAGACUGCAUAUCCGCCCUUGUUCGGGGUGAAUCAUAAUCCUGAACUCAAUUAUCAUCAUCGUUGAGAAUGUCAAACUUUAAAUCAACCAUGCAUGGAACAAAACUUAGAAAUUAAACAAUUAUCAAAGCUUAUGAAGAAUGCUAAACCCAACUAAUUCGAAACAUAAAGUAACCCAAAAGAGAGAAAACUUAUAAAUUUUACAUAAAUUAUAAUCCUUAACAGAAGGAUGGAACAAAGCAGGUUCAUUCUUGAGAAUAGAUGUAAUUUUGCACAUUGCAUAUAUGUAGAUUAAGGCUGGUGGUAACAUACCUUGUAAUUUGUACAAAUUAGGAUUUUCAUUCAAAGAACCAUAAUAUACACAAUUACAAAAACAGUGAUUCAAACUUGUUCUUCUCUUAAGGAAAUUACUCACAGUUGAAAUUCUGAAUGGACGAAGUUUUGGCAUCCCUUUCUGACUAUAUUUGAUUAACCUUUUUUUAAUCCAAUGAGUGCCUUCAUGAGAGAGAGAGAGAGAGAGAGAGGAAUAUUAGGUGAAAUGUAUUGCCAAAUCACACAGAGAUCAAAAUCUUGAAUAUAUAUGUUUAACCAUAUCAAAGUGAGUGUGUGAAAGGGUGUAGUCUGCAGAAAGGGCAACAUUUUCACUGCUAGAAAGUUGGAAACUAAACUUUUACACAGAUAUUGGAUUUUAUUAAUUCCCUCCGCGAAUUGAAAAGCAAAUUGUUCGAGUAAUGCAGGUAAAUUCGAUAUACAUAUGCGUUGAUCUAUGUAAGACAGUUAUAAGUUAUAACUGUAUCGUCUUAACACAAAAAUGAUCAUAAAUGUAAGUGUCUGUAUUAUGGAAGUAAGGGACUUACAGCAAUUGCUAUGAGCUAUAACAGCAGUCACUCCAAGUACCCUAUUAUGGAAGUAAGGGACUUAUAUCAAUUGCUAUGAGCUCUACCAGCAGUCUCUCAAAGUGGUGCAACGGCUAAAAUUAUAAAUAAAAAGUAAUUUAAACAAUUUAACUUAAUAAAAUAUUGUAAUUUAAACAAUGCCUAUAUAUUCAAACAUCCCAAAACAGGAAUGAACUUCCAAAAAACAUGCGCAUGAAAAUAAACGGCAUUACUCACCCAUUGAGUUGGACCAUCAAACUGGAGCGUAAGAAGGAUCAUCAUGUACCUAUGAAACCCAAAGGAAACUUUUAGCAACCCCAAAGCUUGUAUGCAAGCGUGAAUAAGUAUGCGUGUAUGAAUCUAUUCAUAGUGAAGAAGGCUACCUUAAGAAAUAUUUGCAUCUGCAGCUUCAUAUGGCCAUACAACAAAAAGCAUCGCAUAUGAUAACAAACCCCAGCUGCACCACAAAAGGAAUAUGAUCUUCCUCUCAACUUGUAUUUGCAGUUGUUACUGUAACAUCUGCAGACAGCAUACAUAAGCACUGAUUCGAAAAUUCUAAAGGAAAAAAAGUCCUUAUUCGAUAAUGCACCAAAUCCUAUCCGAAAACCAAGGGGGUGCCAUAUCCCUAGAUUAACAGAGCAUCUUUCUUUGUUCCAAAACAAAUUGCAAUUGGCUUUGGUAAAGUAGAAAGAUUACCAGAUACCGACUCUGUUCCAUUAUUCGACUGUCCUUUUAGUUCUGUCUCUCAACAUGGGAAAUACAAUAAGACAGUAAAAACAAAAGUUAGUGAUGCUAUUACAUAGUGAAAGAAAAUAAGACAUUCACAUAUUGAUAGCUAUUUACUGUCCUUUCUCAUCAUAAUCUUGGCCCAUAUAUAUAUAUAUAUAUAUUGAAUUUUGAAAGCAAUGAGAGAAAUAUACCUUUGGGGCGUCACUGCCAGAAGGGUGAGUGAGGGAUCUAAGAUGUUUGAGAGCAGAAAUUUUUAAGUAAUUUGUGCGAAAAAGUUGAAGAGCUUCGAACAGAGUGGAGUGGGUUGGCCUGGGCUAAAAUAAAGAGGAUGAACUCUAGAAAGUAGAAAAUGUUGUGUUCAACCAAACUCAAAAGUAAAGAAACCAUACAAUUAACAUAUAAAUAAGUUUUAUAUACCAAUGAUUACAUGUACGUUGUUUGAGAAGGUAAAUUAGCAACAUAUACAGUGAUCAAAAGAUUAACAGCAAUAAACUGCUCAUUAUUCAAAAUAUACAAGAAAGUUGUCAUUCACAUGAUCCAAAUGGUAGAGGACAAAACAGAAGGAAGCAAAUAUUAUAGCAGCAUAAGUUGAAUAAUUGCAGCAAGUAAACAAAUAGAAAGGCUAGCUAGAUUACACAAUCCAGUUCUAGGUCAGACUAACCAUGUUAGCCAUCCGCCCACCACCAUCACCGUCGGCUUCUUAUUAAAAAUGUAGAAUAGAAGACUCAAAAACUGGAAAUGAAAGUAGGUAACAUUGAGUUUUAAUAACCAAAAAGGGACACUGUUUAAGCAGCUCCACAACAGCAAUAAUACUUGGACGAUGAGCUGCAAAAACAGAAAAGAAAACACAAAUUAAACUAAAAAAAUAUAAAAUUUAACACUAAUCCAAGGAUUAAAUAUCAAAUAUAAAGUCAUUAGGAUUGGGACCUUUGCAUUGAGGAAUAUCUACUACAUUAUGAGUUCCCUCCUGAUAAAGCCCAAUCAGGGGGUUUUCCGAUGAGCCAAGAACGGCUAACUUUGCGUGACACCGCCAUCCCCACUAACACCAAACCAAGAUAAUAUCAAGAUCAAAACUAACCAAUACCAGAAAGAUUUUUUUAUUUAAAUUUUAAGAAAAGACCUAAACUUUACGAAAUUAAGGGGGAAAACAAAGUUAAGUAAAGCACCAAUUUGCAACUGUCAAAAGUGAAAUAUGAGACUGCAACUGCCUAGAAGAACUCCGUGGCCUCAUCGACGAUGACCGGAUGGUGGAGAUUGAACUGGUGCGUACACCUGGAGCACCUGAUUAUACACCGAACAUAGAACAAAAUUUAAAUCAAGUCGAACAAUAAUUGUGAGAAAAUAAACUAAAAGGGAUUUGAGCUGAGAGUUACGAUUCGAAGUGCGGCAAUGGAGGGUGCAGGUUAGCGGCGGCAGAGGAGGGGUUGAGCUUGGGCUCAGUGAGAGAGAAGGUAGUGCUAAAGGCACUAUUUGUCAGCCAAUCAUGUAAUAGGCACACCACUUUUCUAUAUAUGACAAAAAUUAGGAGUUCUCCAAACUAAAGCAUGAAAUUAGAUUCACCAGAGAAUUGGAAAUUGCACAUGAAAAAAAUAAUAUACAUCAUGCCAUUUGUGAUUUUGAAAGAAAAAAAGAAUACCUUCUUCAGGUCCGCUUUAGUAGGUGGAGGCUCUUGAUAGAAGAUUGGCAUUGGAGUCGUUUUACAAAUCAGUUUCUUCCUGAACAUCCUAAUGUCAGCUUCUAGAGUUUCCUGUAAAAGAACAGACAACAUUCAUAAUAAGAAAAUCUCUCUCUGCAAUCGUAGAAAUCCCUCGGGUUUCAGGAAGCAAAUGGAAAACGAAAUGCUUUUCUCCCGUAUCUCUCUCUCUCACCUCUGUCCCAUCUCUCUGUCUCCAAAUCGCAGAAAAGAAACCCUAAACAAAUCCCUGAAAUCCCUCGCCUAAAUCCUCCCACAUUUCUCUCGGACACCCCCCUCUUUCUCUCUGCAAACCCUAAACCAAAUCUCCUAAAUCCUAUCUUUGACACCCCACAUACAGCCAAGAUAUUAAAGCAAUCUCUAUAUAAUACUUUGGAACAAUGAAGAAAAAUGGUACUUACUUGUUCCUUGUCCAAAACCGUUGGUGCUGCCGCACAUUGUUAUCAAUUGUGGGUUGAUCAAAUCCUUCAUGGCUUAGACUGCAUGAAGAAUUAGAAACUAAAAGAUGAAUAUAUGCCGUAAAUCAUCAUAUAAAUGUAAGUGCAUUUAAAAAAAAAAAGGGAAUGACAAAAUUGAAUUCUAUUUCAUCAGUAUGUAACUGCAUGAAAAGUUACUUUGAAUGAAGACUCGAUCAAUUUCCCCAAAGUCAUUGUUAACUGAAAAUCAAUAUCAAACCCAUAAAUACCACAUUGAAUUUGACCAAGUUAAAGGAUAAAGGCACUCGCAUCAUCGUAUUACUCUUUGGGAAGAUCUUCUAAUAAUGGUUCUUCCUUUUUCUUGCUCUUCCUUAGAACUGCCAUAAAAACCCCAGAGAAGCAUACAAAUUCAGAAAAGAAAAGGUUCAAAACUGCCAUAAAAAAAAUCUAGAAAGCAUACAAAUUUAUCAGAAAGAAAAGUUCAAAUUACAAAUACCAAAUGAUGUGAGUAAGUAGUGAGAGGUUGUGUUAGGCACCUGAAACACGUUUUGGUUUCAAUUGAAAGGGCCAGAGACAACAUCCACAUUCUUUUUUCUUGGGUGAACUAACCAAAUCAUAUUAUAUACUAAAACGACAUAAAAAAUCAUUCACAAACUCACAACAAAAUAGAACAAAAAGAUUCACAAAAGAUUUGGGAGUUGAGACGCUAACAAAAACAUUUCUUUUCUAAACAAAUACACAACCGCUAAUCUGGGUUUGGUCAGUUUGACUAAAACGGUGCGCUAUUUUGCAUCUAAAUAUAGUAUAUCGCUUAAAUAAAAUUAAUAAAAAAUACACAUCCAAUGCUUUUAGUCUAAAGCUAGAAUUAGGAAUAACUGAGGAAGUUAAUGAAGGCAAAGCAGAGGGUAGGAAGCAGAACAUACCAAGAGACCAGUAGGCCAUCGGGGCCGGUCUGCCGAUGAACGCUGUGUACUGGUUGACAACGCCCAACGGAGUUGGCGCAGAAAAGAAGUAAAAGUCGAAACCACCCUCAAUGACCUUGUAGGUGAGAGAAGUCCCUCUGUAGAACACAUCCAUGCCAUUGCUGUUGAGCAGCAAAACGGAGUGCGCGUAAGCCUCGUUGCCCACAUUCCGGAGAUCCAUGUAAACUGGGUGGGACCCGUACAAAUCAGUGUUGAGAUUGAUCGCUGAGAAGUUAGUGGUGAAGAGGAUGUAUUUAUCGUUCGGGUAGAGCUUGAUCCCGUGCGGCUGAGAGUUCUCUUCGAGGCCGUACAAGGAGGAGUAUUUCGGCACUCGGGUGGAUAUCUUGAGGUCUAGUCCUUAAACACCAGUACUAGUCCAAUAAACCACUCCGCUUUUAUUGAUUUUCAAUUCAUGUUCAUUCGGGUCCCAAACAAGACUGAACGGCCCCAGAGCCGGGUUGUAGGUAUCUACAUAUGAUAUAAGUGCCCACGUGGCCAUCAUUGCGGUUGACACCUAACUUCAUACCCGGUAAAAAUGUGUAUCCAGGAUAAUCACUUCAGCCGAUCGAGGGUGAUUUGAGGUGUUUUCUAGCUGAAUUGGACUUCGACCCAAGUAUGAAAGUUGUUCCUCUUAUCGAGAUCUUCAUUCAUGUAAAAUUUGGGAAUUUUAGAAUUGUUGAAUUCUCCGGCGAGUCAGGGCUACCAGCCGCCACGUGUUUCGGCGCAUGGCCCUUUGGCCGCUGUCCCGUGGCGACUCGUGCGGUGAUGUAUGCAGGAAAACCUAAGGUUCCUCCUUAGGUUUUUCAAUGUACCAAACCCGAAUCCGCCGUCCUUUUUUCAAAAUUCUAACGUUUUCAUAGAGUUUUAUUAAACGACCUUUAAUUGUGUUUAGGUGCAUCGGUGGAGGUGACCUCAUUCUUGAUGGUUCGAGCGGCUUUCGGGCAAUGGAAAACUUGUGAGUGGACCCCUUCUAAACUUAUAUAUUGUUAUAAAAUAUUAGCCUAGCAUGCAUUCCAUAUUUCAUGAUUUGAAUAUGAUUUAUAAUAUGCUUUAUGGACUUUUAUAAUUAUGGUUUACGAAAUAGUUUGAUUUAUCGAAAUUACGUUUUAUUAGGUAUUGAAUUAUUGGAUUUGCAUAUAUGGAUUUCUAUGGUUUUCAAAUACGAUUUAUAUUACGGUUUUACGAACAUGAAUUAUUUUAUGGAUUUCAUGAAUACAAUUUAUCUUGGAUUUAUGAGAUGAGAAUUUGAGCUAGUGAGCUCCGGGUUUGAUAUAAGUUUUGAGAUAUGUUUUUGGUACUUAUCUAGUGGGUUAUCAUACGGCACAUCCGCACACCACGGGUAUAGAAUUGUAUGGCCAUAGGACACAGAUGAUGAGGAGGAGUAAGAUAUGAUAUAUUAUAUACCCCCAGUUCACUGUCGAAAGUAGUGUCAGAUAACUUCACUAGCCAUGGCUAGUGUCGGUAUGGAUGUUAUGCUAUUUCAUACAGCUUCACCUUCGGGUGAUAGACAGGUUAUUUAGCUUCACCUUCGGGGUGAUGGACAUGUACUACCUUCGGCCAACUAUGAUAGCCUUUGUUGAGUACUUCACUGACAAGAUUUACAAAUUUGCCUUCGGGCGACGGCAUUUUCAUUAUCAAGCAUUGGAUUUUACAUAUCUACCUUCUAAAUGGAUUUUCAUGGCAUGCUAGGGUUUUUCAUAAAGCCUAUAUGUAGUAUUAUAUAUGUUUUCAAAACAAGGGGUUAUUAUGUUCAUAAAUAAAAUGUUUUCCUAUUAUUAGUAUUAUUAAUAUAAACUUUGGUCCACUCACAUUUUCAGUUUUUGCGCCUCCACAGGAGUUAGGAUCGAGGCACAUGAUCCCGGCAUCAUGGCAUGUUGAUAUAGGUAUCCUUGAAUCUUCCCAGUGUAGAUAUCAUUCCCUUAUUCAUAUCUUUUUAUAGUGAUUCUUCCCUAUUAUUUCUAAUUAGUUGUAUGCUCUAAACACAUUCCUGCUUUGGUAUAAUCGUUAUAACUACUUAUCUUGUAAUUGUUUGCAUGUUUAAAAUGGUUUCGUCACCCUUGGGCGUGGGCUAGCACGUGCCUACCCUGGUAUGUUGGGAUAUCGGGGUUGGGGCAUGUCAAAGAUAGAGAGUGAAUUUCUAGCAGAUUCAAUGGUUGUCUACAUUUUAAAAAGAGCUUGCCGAAAAGAUUGAUUCAGAUGAAAUAACAAAGGAUUUCAAUUCCAUUAAGGAUUGAAGGGCACAACUUGAAUAGGUAUUUUUCUUUUUAUUUGUUAUGUUGUUAUGACAGGAUUGACGAUGUAUGUUUAUUUAUAUUGUAAGUUGCAACUUUAAAGGUUUUCUUUGUUAAAUCUAGUUGAAACUUGAUUCAUUUAGAGUUAAAUUUCUUACUUCAAAUUGUUGCUUUUAGGCUUAUUAUUGUGUAACUUUAUGCAAGCAACAAAAAAUUUUAACCAUUUGAUUUUGUACUAAUAAUUUUAGCUUAGCAUGCCACCAAAUAAUUCAUGGCUCCGCUAUAGAAAUCUUAGCAUGUGCAAUUUCAAAGUCUCGGUUGCCAAGUCUCCCCAGGCUGUUCAGCACCCAUUCUGAAUCUUGAUCGAGAUCUAGAGCAGUGCAAGUCAAGGAGUCUUCAUUCUCAUUUGAAACAAUGCUAAAAUUAUACCUCAGCUUGGACUCCUUGGGCAAAAUAUACCCAAAUGUAUUAGUACUACUUGUGGAUACACCACUAGUCCAAAAAAAUCACCUCUCCUUUCUUAAUCUUCAAUUGGUGAGGGUCCCAAUCAAGCGUGAAAGGCCCCGGCGCACGGUUGGCUUUAGUUUCCCAUGAUGAAAUCGACGAAACAUGGCCGUUUGUACGGUUGACACCCAAUUUCAUGCCCGGUAAAAAGGUGUCAACUGGUAAUCAAAGCUUUACGUUCACUUCUUCUUGUACAAAAUUUCCCGAAUCCAAAAGGAUAGCCACAACAGUAGCAAUACUGUACUUAUGUUGGUAGACCUAGUAGUUUGUGGAGCUGAGAAAAACGCAAUUGGAUUAGGAUCCCCCCCGCAUAAUUUUCAAGGUUUUAUUCCUGUCCAAGGCAAGAGUGCGUACAAAAUAGGGGCUUUACGGUUGCAAAUCCAAGCAAUGUUGCCAUCGGCCUUGUUGCUCUGGAUAGAUACGUAGCUGGUGCUUUUGGAACUGUCGUCGUGUACACAGGAACUGAAACUGAACUUCUCCGAUGCAGAGACCAAAGAACUUGAGGAGUUGAGAGUGUCUCCUGCUGGUUUCAGUGUGUCCCUUGCACUUGCAGCAUUGUGACAGGUCCACAGUCAGCAUGCAAAAAUGAUUAAGUUGAUUAUUGCCAUGAUUAAUUAAUGACCAUAACAUGAAGUUUAAUUUCUCCAUAUGAUGAGGAAGAAAGACAUGAAAUCCAUCACCAGAACAUGAUUAAGAAUUUAAUCAAGCAACGCGUCUUAGUUAAACCGUUACAAUCUUUGUACAAGGCAUUUAUAAAUUAAAAAAAAAGGGAAUAAAGUAAUAAUUACAAGUUUUACACAAGUGACCAUUUAUUACAAUGGUGGAAAGGUGUUAAGCUUUUGCAUGACGGUGUGAGUUCGAACCUCGUCGGUAGUUAAUCUAACUUAUAAUCUAAUAAAAUCUAUUUUUUGACCAAAAAAAAAUAAUUACAAGUUUUACUAAAAAUUUAGGGGUGUGAUAUCCACACACCCCUUUUUACUUCUCUCACACAUUUUUGAUUUCGACCGUCAAAUCGGAUGAGUUGAAGAAGAUCAACGGACAGAAAUUAACAAGGGAUGUGUGAGAAGUAAAAAGGGGUGUGUGGAUAGCACACCCCAAAAUUUACCGGAAGACUUGAUCACCCAUUUGUAUGCUGACAACGGUGACUAGAUUCACAACCUCUUUCCCACGUAAAUCACAUCAUCCAAUUUUAUUUUUCUUACAACAUAUCACGCAUCUGUCAUAUGCAAGACUUUUUUUUUUGUAUAACAUGAAAAAGAAGACUUUUUUGGAAUAUGGAGAGUGAAAUUGCAGCGGAAGCAUCCUAGAUUUUUGAUCGAAUAUUGAGUUUGGUUUGAUGACAGACUUCCUGGAUCAAACACACCCUAAAAAAUAUAUAUAAAAAACCAAUAAGGUCAUGUGAUACGACAUCAUUUCAAGAGGAAAGGUAAAAACAAUCUAGUUUCUAUACUAGGAAGAUUCACUCGAACAAAUUCUUGGAAACUAUGACUCAAACAAAAUUCUAGGAAUUCAGUAUUUUUAACAAAUGAUAAGCGUUUAAGAUAUAUUCUUUAUAAUAUUAGAGAAAUCGAACGGUUGAUGUAUAACUCGCAAAGUGGUUGUAGCUCAAGUAAUUUUACUCCCCAAUUUUACAUAAAACAUAAAAUAAAAACAAAUCCUAAUUUACAUGGUAAUUUUUUUUCAUAGCUAGGGACAACUUCGACUAUGGUAAUGCAAUUAAUAUACACUAGUUUUGGAUGGAGAAGUUUCAAGAUUGAGUAUGGGAUGGGGAGGGGCGAGAGACUUGGAUGGAGAGGUGAGGUUUUAUGAGUUAAACAGUGAUGCAAGGAUGUAUUACUUAAAACUUUAGAGACCGUAUGUUGGGCUAUAUAUAAUAUACGUUCCAUGGAUAAUUGUUUAACUCAUAAACGUUUUGAGUGUUUCUAACAUAUGCUUAUCAAAAGCCUUCUCGUUCCAUCAAACAAUACGAAAAUUUUCAAUUGAAUGAAAGACAUACUAUUUUAUAUAUCACAGUACUUCAUGGAUCAUCAUCAUCACAUAUCCUUAAUUCAAAGGUAAUAAAUGAGCAUCUAGUUUUAUUUUAAUUUUAUUUUAUAUAGGGACUACAGAAGCAAGCACCCUCUGUAAAUUAAACUCUAAAACUUCUCAAGUAUCUUGAAAGGUGCCAAAAGCCAUCAGCCAACUCCAGUUGAUGCAUAACCUCCUACAUUUACAAAAACAGCGUCGCCGUUAAUUUAUUGACUUCUUCCCAGGACACAUACCAAUUUGCGAAAGUGGUUUGACUGAUGCUAAUUAGUCGAGUAAAGUACAGUCUUUUCAAUUAAGCAGAUGCAAAACACUUAGUUGAGGCACUACAAAUAUGAUUUUUACCUUUAAUUAACGCGCUUCAAAAUCUGAACUGGACAUGUAGUUUGCUGAAGCAACAGUUUCAAGUUGCUGAUUCCCACUUAUACCAGCCUCCACCGUCCUCCUUCCAACAAAAAAUGCUGGCUUUGUUGGUGAUGCUAAUCGAAAGCUUUCAUUUGUCAACAUAGAUAUGACAUCUGACAUGGUAGGGCGAUCUGCUGCAUUUUCUUCUACGCAAAGCAGACCGACAUGGAUGCAUCUUAACAGUUGCUCUUUAAUAAACGAAUUUCCUAAUGUUGGAUCCGUUAAUUCUAGCCCUGCACCUUUUUUCCAUAACUCCCAUGCCUGAAGAACAAGGAUUGCAUUUCAUUCUAAAGAAGAAAAAUAUGAUUAUAAAUUUUAAGAGAGAGAUUUGUUUGUCAUACAUAUCCUACUAAAUUGAGUGCGCGAUCGUCAUUGUAAAAGCUGUUGUUUUUCCUUCCACUUAUGAUUUCAAGCAUCAAUACCCCGAAACUGUAGACAUCAGACUUUACAGAAAUAAUUCCCCCCACGGACUCUGGAGGCAUGUAACCACUGCACGAAAUGAAAAAGAAAAUUAGUCAGUAUACUUAUCUGGAAAAAUGCGUGUUUAGCAGUCAAAAGGGGAGGACCACGUCAAUGUGAUGCAGAAAUACUUACAGUGUCCCCACAACCUUUCUAGUGUUUGCUUCCAAUUCAUUUUGGGUGAAAAUCCUUGCCAUACCAAAAUCUGAAAUUUUUGGGUUCAUGUUUUCAUCAAGUAGUAUGUUACUAGCUUUUACAUCUCUAUGAAUUACUUUCUUUCUUGAGUAUUUGUGCAGAUAAAGCAACCCUUGAGCAAUUCCUUCGAGAAUGCUAAAACGCUUCUUCCAAUCUAGUAGUAGACCUCUGAUUGGAUCUGUCCAAUAUGUAGAGUUAAGUAGGACUAAUAUUAAUUAAUAGUAGUACUCUAUGAACUUUGACAGUAAAAUAAAAAUCAGAUAGUAAAUUUAACAAAUGAAAUCAAGUAUCUUGGUUCCUCACCAAAUAAAAAGUGGUCCAAACUUUUGUUCUGCAGAUACUCAUAUAUCAACAUCAUUUCUUCACCAUGAAUGCAAAAUCCGAAAAGGUGAACCAGGUUUGUAUGUUUGAGUUCAUAUAUAAGUAUCAGUUCAUUCUUGAAUUCUGAUGUUCCUUGCCCUGAACAUUUCGAAAGCCUCUUCACAGCUAUUUCUUGUCCCGUCGCCAAUUUCCCCUGAAUUGAUAAUCCAUAUCAUGUUUUUGCUGUCAUCUUUAGGCAAAUGAAGCUAAUUCCAUUUUUUUUCUUACAGCUUUUGAAUUAGAAGCAGAAAUAUUUUUUUUUCAAAAUGUUACCUUAUAAACCGGUCCAAACCCUCCUUGUCCUAGCUUGUUUUCUUCAGCGAAGUUUCUUGUGGCAGCCACGAUGGAUGAAUAGCUAAAAACGCUAAAAUCAUGAUGUCGCUUAGAUUUCAUGAAGAUAAGCAUUUCGUUCUCAAUCUCUGGCCAGUUCUCACCUAUACAGAUCAAUUAUAAGAAAUUAAAGUUUCAAUGGAGACAACAAUUGUCAAAGAUGUGAUUAAUAAUCCUGUCUUACUGGUGCACAUGAUUUAAAGAAAUAUACCAGCUGAUGCAAGGGCUGAUCUUCUUCGUCGGAGUAGAUAGUACGCGGUGCAAAGCACUAGAGCAGCAGCUAUAGAAAUGCCAAUCCAAACCCAUUUAUCUGCUGCAUCAUAAACAAUUAGCUAGCAACAUAUGCAAUAAGUGUAACACACACGCACAUGUACGCAUUAAUUGUCUUCAAUUUUUGGAUGAACUAGGUCUUGCAGGUUUCUUCCGGAAAACGAAGAAAAAUUCGAGACAGAGAGCAGAACUUAAGACAACAAUAACAAAGAUAGAGGUACCUAAUAAUACUGAUUCCACGCGUGUCACAGAUUUCCGGCUCAAAUCGGGUUUGCAGCCUCGGUAUAUAUCCUUCGGAUCAAGAAAAGAAAACCCUUUUGGGCAUUCGCAGGUUGGCCUUUUAUCUGGUUUGAGCAUACAGGUACUGUUGUAACCGCAAACACCAACGCCCAGUCGUAGGCAAAUAUCAUCCGGCAUAUACACCAGAGGACUAAUCCAACUUGCAUUUCCCGUGAAGUUUUUCGGGUGAGAAUAUAAAGCGAAAAUCCCAUCAAAAUCAAGAGUUGCCCUUAUGUAGUUGUCCCUCACCGACACUCCCUCUGUCCCCUUAAGAGGAACUCUUCCAUCAUUUUCUCUUAGAACAAACAUGUCCCCUGAGCUGCUGAACACCAAUCGUUUGCCUUGACUACCUGGCACGUUCCCUGAGGUGGUCUUCGUGGAGAAGUAAGGGAUGUUGGCAUUAUCUGUUGUGACGGAAAUGAGCACGAGGUUUCCAUCACCUUGCAAGCUCAGCUGGAACCGCCCUUUUGUGUAGUUAGUCUCCGAUUGUCUACACGAAAGCGUCCCGUUUCUCUCAAUUGUCUGUCCAGGCAAAACGGUGUCUGUAGGACUGCUGAAGGUCUCCCACAAGCUCCCCGAGUUUUGGUGUUGAAGGACAAAGUUUCCGGUGUCAUUCAUGACCCCGUUCGCAACAGUCCCCAAGGUUAUUUCGGAUUUCCAUAUCUCUCCACCCUGAGGAUUGUUAAGAACUAGUCCACUGUUGGCAGUCAAGUUCAGAACUGAUCCCCCAGGUGCAACCAUGGGGUUGUUACCGUCAUAUGCAUACCAAACUACGGUUUUGUCUGGGAUUUUCGCAUACCAUAUCGAAAGCAAGAAACGAUCAUUGUUUCCGAGGGGCGAAAAUCCAAACGCGAAAUCACCGGAUGGAGAAAGCCAUGAUGAGGAGUCGCCUGUAGUUGCAGUUAGAGAACUCCCAACUGCUACUCUUCCAUUAUUUUGGGAAAUCACAGAAAUUGGUAGCAAAAACAAAGAGGAGAACAAAAGCAUCUCCACAGAAAGAGCCACUGCCAUUGCAAAAGCACCCAUUUUUCAACUUGGCUUGAUUGAUUAGCUAUAUUUCUUAGUAAAGCAUUGGUCCUUGUUAUAUCUUCAAGUAAAUGUGUGUGCACCAUGUGCCAAUGUGCCAGUCAUUUUCUAAGUUUUUGCCUGGAAUUAAAGGCGUCUACACCAUUUUUUGAAGUCAGUCUUACCUAUCUGCCACGACAUGACCUCAGACCUCGCUACGUCACACACAACAAUAUCUCCGGGCCUACAGAAUAAUUCUCCGAACCUACACAUAUCACAAGAAUUUCACUUUGAAAAAAAUAAUAUAAUGAAUAGUUCUAUAUAUAAUGACACGAUAUUUUUGGUGAUAGAACUUAUUGUCUCUCCCAACUCUGUGUAAUGUUGCAAGUUGGAUCAAUAUUGAUGUAAUUAUUAAUGGCCCGCUAACUUGUCUCUCUCAAAUCUCUUUUCAUCCUACUCUCAUCCCUCGUCCGUUUUAUGAUUCUACUUACUUGAGCACUUAUAAGUGUUCCAAAUCAGCAAAGGACUUGUAACUUAAAUAAUUAAUAAUAUUUAUCACUACACUGGGGAUUCUAGGUUCCAAAAUAUAAUAUAUAAUAUAUAUGAAUGUUCCAAACCAAAAGGACAAGUAAAUACGAGCAUGACUCACGUGGCAUGUGUCGGCCAUUCAAGUCCAACAAUCAAAAUUCAACAAUGGGACCCACAAAGAAAAUUUGAAAACAGACCUCCAGAACCAAACAAAGACGACUAGGCCUUUAUGUCAAGUAUUAAGAGACUUACAUCAUCACAAAAACAAAGACGACUAUGUCUCUGACACGCCCCGAUCCCGAUGUCCUAGGGACAAAGGGAUGGUCACGUGCUGGCCGACACCCGAAGGGUGACGAAAGCCAUUUAUUGAGUGCAAAUGCUGACAACAAGGGAUAGAUAAGACUUAUAAAUAUAAAAGAAUAAAGAAUAUGCCUUUAAGGAACGUGUUCAGAGCAUACAACUAACUAGAAUACUAAAAGAAAUAAUAUAUAAAAAUUGAAUGAAUAACAGAAUGGGUCCUACACCAAGAAGACUCAAAGAUGCCGAUGUGGAAGUGCCUUGACGUCGGGAUUGUAUGCCUCGAUUCUAUGCCCUGAAGGGGGCGCAAAACAAACAUGAGUGGACCAAUUUGAUAUAUAUAUAACAAAACAGUUAUCAACGUACUAACCCCCAAGUUUUAUGAAAACACAUAUAUAAUGAUAAACAUAGGUUUUCCGAAACCUAGCAUGCCGUGCAAUGUCUCAAAUCAUAACUCAUACAUAAUAAUCACUAGUGAAUUGUCCGAUAACCCCCAGGCCCCAUGCCGGCUCCCCGUCUCUGAGCAGACAGUCAGAGGAAAAUACACUUCAGGCCCCAUGCCGGCUCCCCGUCCCUGUGCUAAAUAGCCAGAGGAAACACACUUCAGGCCCUAUGCCAACACCAAACCGUCGCCCGGGACGGACCAGAAUCUAUCCCUACGUCCCGUAGCGGAAAGGACCACUAGGUAAAUACAAAACCAUUGAACAUAUAUAUAUUGAAAAACAACUUCAUAGUAUAAAGUCAUCCAUCAUCUAUACUAUAAAGAGGUGUUUGAAACAUGUUCUAAAUAUCAUAUCGUCAUCCAUCAGAUAUUCUAUAAGAACACGGGUUAUAGGAAAAAUAGUAAUAAUUCAAACUAGCCUCAGUAAGCAUGUUAUGUCACAAAACGUUUCAUAAAACGUAAUCAUCAAAUCAUGCUUUUCAUGUAUGCAUUUCUACUAUAAAACAUGCAUUUUAGAAGGGGUCCACUCACAGUACUUAGUUGCCAAAUGCUGCGCCACUAGCGAAGACGGAAACGUCACAAUAAUUGCCCCUAAGCACAUAAAUGGUACAAUAAAUAAAACUAUAUAAUAGAAAUUGAAUUUGAGAAAACGGACAUUGGAAACGGAUCCAGAACGUCGAAUUACCCUAAGAAGGGUUUGAAUUAAAUAAAAUAGGGAAUUUGGAAUUGAAUGGGUUUAGGGUUUUAAAGGAUUUGGGUUAUAAAGGGUUUAGGGUGAAAAUGGGUGGUUUGGGCCUAAGCCCAAACACACACACGCACCACACAAACACACACACGCACGGCAUGCACAUGCAUGCAAGCAUGCAUAUACACACACGUACGCAUGCACUUAAACACACACACACACACAAACCACAAAGGCCUUAAGGCCUCACACAAGGACCGGGCUUUAAGCCCUUUCACUCAAAACCGGCCCAAGGCCCUUUGGGCUGCUGAAAAUAAAUAAUUAAAUAGAAUAAAAACAGGCUGGGCUAGGCAGGGAAGGCCCAAAGCCUUGGGUUUUGGUGGAUCGCCGGAUCCAAUGGGAGAGAAGGCCGGAAAUUCGGCCGGAAAACCAUCCCACUUUAAACGGCCAUAACUUUAACAAUACUCAACGAAAUCAAGCGAGACAAAAACGAAAGUUAUAGCCCUUGAAGAGACGAAGAGAAUGAUACCUCACACGAUGUCUAAUUCGCCGUGGUUUGGCCGGAAAACGCCUUGAAAGCCGUCGGACUCGCCGGAAACUGGGUAAGAUUCAAAUGAGUAUAACUUUUCCAAUACUCAACGAAAUUGAGUGAAACAAAAAGGAAAGUUAUACUACUCGACGAGACGAAGAGAUUGAUACCUUGCACGCCGGCCAACUCGUCGUGGUUUGGCCGGAAAUGGCCUCGAAAGGGGCGGUGCUCGCCGGAGCUUACUCCGUGUCGUCGAACUCGCAGGGCAGGGUCCAGGGUUCGUUGCGAGCCUCUCUUCGAUGGUGACUCGGUCCUAGUGAGUCCAGGGGAAGAGAGAGAGCCGAGAGACAUACAGAAGAAGGAAGAAAAGAAAACAGAAAAGAAGAAGAAGAAAGAAGGGAGUUCACGGGGGAGGGACAGAGAGAGAAGGAAGAGUGACGGGAAUGGGGGACACAAAAACAGAAGGUGGGCCCCUUGGGCACACCAAUUAAGAAUUAAAAACCAUUUUUAAAUAAAAUGGGGGUGAGGUGUUACAGUCUCCAUUUCUGUAUUCACAAAAAACAAAAUACUAACUGAAGUUUUUAAUGUAUGAUUACGUCGUUGGGGUAAAACACCCCAGGCCGAGUUGUCACAGUCUGGCGCAAACGGACGCAGAGACCCGAACCACUCAUUUUAAAUCAUACGGCCUUCAUUAGCCUAUCUUAUUGACCCACAUCACACAAGGGGUUCGAAUCUCUCUCUCUCCCCUCUCUUAAACGGUUUGGAUAUCUCGGUUUGUCGAUUUUGGAUUGCGAGAUUCAGAGAGAAUCUGAUUUCGGGUUUAAGGUGUGGUUCGACGACCAUUUGAAGCCCGUUGAGGUGUGGCCCAUCUCAUCAGGUCGAGUCAGCCAUUUUGUACCAGGUUGGAUCCCAGGUCAGGCCAACCAUUUCAUUAGCCUAAGAUGGACCUGACAGACGAGGCGCUUGGAUAUUGCCCACCGCGACCAAAUGGACCCAUGGGCUCAUUAGAUGAUGAAUCUGGACCCAGGUGUGUGUAAAGCCCACCUCAGCUCGAUCCAUAUUUGACCGAUACUACAGAGAAGGUGGAGAUGAGGUAAAGGUAGGGUAAGCUCCAAGUCAUGUGGAGGUCAGUCAAGAUUGAACGCACGUUCAUAGAAUCAUAGUAUCAAAUUCAAGUCCAAAUUUUAACACUACGAAACCAAAAAGCAUGCAACUCCGAAAAACAUUAUUUCAGUCCAACAACCCAAACUUCCUUAAAAAACUAAGACCAAAACGACGACACCAGGAAACGGAAAAACAUGCAACUCAGAAAACCAUUGCUCUAGUUCAAAUGAGGUUCCUCAAUGCCUCAAGCUUUUCUAAACACCAUAGCCUGAACCUUUUCCUUUGCGCCUUCUUUGCUUCACCAGAAACGUUCUUAAUGAGCUCCUCUUCAAAUUUGAGACGAGUAGGCAUUAGGCUGUGCACAAUGCUGUAAAUGCCCCUAGCCCUUGCCACACCCUAGGUGCGUACGUGUGCAUGUCCGACCUGAGUUAUCUCAUUACGCGCGCAGUUAUAUCUUCCCCUAUUGACAUCCCUGCUGUCUAUUCUCCUACGAAUCCUUCUGCUGGUGACUUCAUCCGGG
Molecule: long non-coding RNA, 80335 nt
Filed under: Malus domestica (apple)
Lineage: Eukaryota; Viridiplantae; Streptophyta; Magnoliopsida; Rosales; Rosaceae
Description: long non-coding RNA (MDOM_LNC005217)
Source: RNAcentral